CGGUCUACAAGCCCCCUGUUGAGAAGCCACCUGUGUAUAAGCCACCGGUAGAAAAACCUCCAGUUUACAAACCACCGGUAGAGAAACCACCAGUGUACAAGCCACCAGUUGAGAAGCCCCCCGUCUACAAACCUCCUGUAGAGAAGCCUCCUGUUUACAAGCCACCAGUAGAGAAACCACCAGUGUACAAGCCACCAGUUGAAAAGCCUCCGGUCUACAAACCACCUGUAGAGAAGCCACCUGUUUACAAGCCACCUGUAGAGAAACCACCAGUGUACAAGCCACCAGUUGAGAAGCCUCCGGUCUACAAACCACCUGUAGAGAAGCCACCUGUUUAUAAGCCACCUGUAGAGAAACCACCAGUGUACAAGCCACCAGUUGAGAAGCCCCCGGUCUACAAACCCCCUGUAGAGAAGCCUCCUGUCUACAAGCCACCAGUAGAGAAACCGCCAGUGUACAAGCCACCAGUUGAGAAACCCCCGGUCUACAAACCCCCUGUUGAGAAGCCUCCUAUCUACAAGCCACCAGUAGAGAAACCACCAGUGUACAAGCCACCUGUUGAGAAGCCUCCAGUUUAUAAGCCACCAGUUGAGAAGCCACCUGUGUACAAGCCCCCAGUCGAGAAACCCCCGGUCUACAAACCUCCUGUAGAGAAGCCUCCAGUUUACAAGCCACCGGUGUACAAACCUCCAGUUUACAAGCCACCAGUAGAGAAGCCACCUGUGUACAAGCCUCCGGUCUACAAACCCCCAGUUGAGAAACCUCCAGUUUACAAGCCACCGGUUUACAAGCCUCCAGUCGAGAAGCCACCAGUUUACGGACCACCUCACCACCCAUAGUACCCUCCCGUAGUUGGCACUACUCGUUUUUAAAGCAUGCUUUUAAGUAAAUAAGAGAUAUAUAAACUUUCCAAAGCAAGGAUCAUAUAUUCUUGGAAAUCUUCAAUUCAAUCUUAUGUUUACAAAUGCUAUUGCCAAGACAAGAGUGUGAAAGAAAAUGGUGCCAUUUGUACUUCAAAUUAUGAAUAAGAACGUUAUGAUUUAGUACUUCUUAUUUUGUGUUUGUUGACUAAAUUUGACAGAGUAUACUUUACUUGUUCCCUAUCAUACCAGUAAGGUGCAUGAAAGUUCAGUCUUGAACGGUGGAAAUAAAUAAUAAUUAAUUAAUGUUUGAAUCUCGAAUUUACUAAAUUAACGAACUUGUAAUUUCAUUGGAAUAUACUUGACUCAGUGGUAGCUUUAGUUUCAACUUGGAAAAUGUCCGUGAUAUGACAAUUUUUCCAAAACAAGUUUAGGUUAAGAUUUUUAUUUUUUAUUUUUGACAUAAUAUACGUUAAGAUUCUUGUGUACUAAUAGAAACUGAAAAAUCAUUUUGGUGCUUAAAGUUUAAUGAGUUGGACAAAUUAUUCACUCAAAUAUGGAAAUGAUAAUGUAGUCUCUUCAAUUAUAGAAUGCCAUUUAAUUUAGUUACCUUUUCAAAAUUAGCAUCACAAUUCGCAAGGUUUUAUAUUUGUGUUGAUGCAUCAGUUAAGAUAAGGAUCACGAAAAUUAGGUUUUUGACUUGGUUUUGAUUAGGGGUGUUUGCGGUGCGUUUUGGUUCGGUUUUGAGCAUAAAAGUCAUCUAAACCUCAAGAUAAAAAAGCAUGCGGUUUGGUUUGAUUCAGUUGAUUUUUAUAUAGUCAUCCAAACAAAACCAAACCAAACCAAUGCGGUUUGGAUUGGUUCGGUUUGUACGGUUUAUCGCGAGAUGAAAAAAUAUUACAUUAACUCUAAUAUUGCCAACUUGUUACAAAAUAAACAUAGGACAUUUUAUUUUGUUGUUUAUAUGAUAAAAUAUUAGGUAAAACUUAUAUCAAAAUAGGUAAAAUUAAGAAGAAACAUAAGCAUGAAACAAAUUAUUGAGAAGUAAAAGAAACAAAUUCAUCACUGAAAAUGAAUUGAAAGAGAUGGAAAGGAAUUAGAAUCGAACCAGAUGGUGCAACAAUGGAAAAAUCUAAUCAAAUGAGAUUAUUCUUGAGCUAUGUAAUUGGGCUAGUACAUGUUUAAGUAAUAUUCAUUAUUCUUGCGGUUUGGUUUGGUACUUGAGAUGCAAACCGCAAACCAAACCGAACCGCGCGGUUCAGUGUAAAAGUCAUCCGAGUUCAUUCGAACCAAGUGCAGUUUUUUGCGGUUUCGGUUUGGAUUGGUUUGGUUUGCGGUUUUUCUAUUGGGUUCGUUCGGUUUUGAACACCCCUAGUUUUGAUCGAUGUUUCCUGAAGAUAUGUUUUGGUAAUUGAACUAAAUAAACUGUCUUACAUUCUUCAAUUAAUGAGAUUAAAUUUCCUUUUUACAAAUAUCAAUGAUUAAUGUCAAGGACUAAAAUGAUGAUUAGUGUCGCGCCAUUUUUCGGAGGUCAAGGCCAUUUGAUUAGCUUUUGACUCACUUUUUAUCUCACGACUGAACAAAAAAUUUUUUAAAGGGGAAAAAGUUUCAAACCACCCAUUUUGAAAAGAUUUAGGGUUCAUGGGUUGGUUAUAUUUAGGGAAGGUAUUAGCACCCUAAAUAUUCGUAGUACUCUAUGAGUACCUCUUGAUUUUAUUUAACUUUUUGUGCUUAAACUUGCUUGCUUUUGAAGAGAUGAAAAUAGAAUUGAAAGAUGAGUUGAAACGAAAAAGAAAAUUGAUUUUAAUUGAAAAGAAAAAAGAAAAUUGUUUUUUAGUUGAUUUGGAAGGACAAGGUCCUCUGCCUACGUACCCGUGAGGGAUCAAAACCUCGUAGUUCGGGGUAGAAAUUGACGUUUGAUUGGUUUUAUAUUUUUUAUUAGUUUUUGAAAAAAGGUUUGAAAUAAAAAGCCAAGUGGCAAAUGAGAAUUGAUUUGUGUUUUUUGGAUUGAAGGAAAUAGACUUGAAGUAGAAUUAAAAUUGAUUUGAGAUUUGAUUAAGAAAGAAAAUAGAAAUAGCGAUCACUUCAUUGAAAGUCAAGGUUUGUUAUAAAAAUAUUUUUUUGUGAUUUUUUGAUAUUUGGAUGUUUUUGCCGUUUUUGAAUAAUGAAUGAAAAUUAAACUAACAGAGCAAUGAAAAUAAAAGUGCGUGGGCGUGAAGAAAAGAUUUUGGUUUAUGUUAGUUCGACAAUAUAAAUAGUAUUUAAUAUAUGUUGUGUUCACUUUGGAUAUUAUCGGACAAAAUUUUGACAAUAAUAAAAAUAAUAAUAGUAAAAUAGAAUAAAAAAUAGAAAGACUAAAGUGAAUCAAAAUGAGAUAAAAAGAUAAAUAUUUAAAACGGAUUUAAAGUUAAUAAAAGAUGGAAACUAAAAUUAAAUGAAAUUUGAAAAUUGAGAGAAGAGGGUCCGACUUGGAACCAAAUAUGAGGUAUUUUAAAAUACCUUCCUAUCGAAAUUUUGUUCGAAAGGCUGAGACCGGUCGGAGUUAAAUGACACGUGUCAGUGCUGCCUUAGGUCAAAAAUUGGGGUAUGACAAUUAGCUCAAUAAUUAAUUAUUGUGAUUUCUUCAUUUUAUAUUUAUAUUUAAGAAUAAAAAAAAAAAAAUGACGAUAUCAACUUUGACACAUUACAUAUUCAAUCAAUGUUGACUUGACCAUCAAUGCUACAUAUCCGGAUGUAAGAGUAGUUCGACGAGUUUAUUUUUGUCACUUUUGUUGAUAUUUUGUUGGUUUAUGCUAUUAACUUGCAUCUAGUAAACUUGUUCAUAGCUUCAUCAUUUUCAGUUUUAGUGACAUGAUAUUUGUGUUGUAUUCAAUGUGAUUUACCGCGCGAUAUGAAUAAUAUAUAUUUUUAGUCAAAAUUAAUCAUGUCGGACCUGAGAUCUUUGGUUUGAUGGCGUUGAACGACCUUUGAGUAAGACAAUGUUAAACCAAAAUGAGUUUUAUACAAUGCCUCUGAAGUUUUGAUAAUAACAAAGUAUAAAAAGAACAAUUGAAUAUGCCAAUGUUGUUCAAGUAUGCUCGACCAUAUAUUAAAAUUCAAAGUAUUAAAUCAAGUUUUGAUUCUGAAAGAACAAGAUUAUGAACAUAUACAAGAGCAUCUGCAACUUAUGAGAAGCUGGAAAUUUGGAUCAGACUCUGAAUAAGUAAGACUGUGAAAGUCGGGAGUGUAACACCCUGAACCCCACAUACUAUUUUUAAAAGUAAUAAUUCAACAUUUAAAUAAACAUAUCAAGAUGUUACUCUUCAUUUUCAACACAUAACAAGUCUCCAUCUUAAAAUAUCAACUCACAGCGGAAAUAAGUCUCAACAACACAAAUGUCAUACAUCAUAUCUCAGAAUAAGUACAUCAUCAAAAUAAACUCAAGGUUCCUCAAACAUAAUAUGAUAACAUAAAUAAAAUCCCAACAUCCUAAUCAGAGAACCACUAGACAAGACUCCAAAAUCAAAGCGGUAAAAGAUGAGUAGGCUGCAAGCCGUCCUCGGAAACUCAUGGUAACUUUGCGUCCUCAACCUGCAAGUCUCCACCACAAGGGCGUAGGCGACCAUUUGCCAAACGUAGGGUAAGAUAUAAAUUUAACAUAGAGGAAAUAUGAACACAUAUAUAGUAUUAGGAUCGCAACAUCAUAUACAAGUAUUCAUCUUAAGCAAUACCAUAUUAACAUGCAUUCUCAUUGAUUGGUAAAAUAUACACAACAAAUCUCAAAUCAUCAUCACAAGAAUAUAAAAAAGUAAACACAUCAUUGAUUAAUCAUCCAAUGGAAUACAUAGGAUUCACACAUUAUCACUUUCAUUAAAUCACACAUUUUCCAUAAAAUACACAUAGUCAUGUAUGCAUCUUUCACAUAGAUUCACAUAGUCAAGUACUCAUCUUCUACAUAGACUCUCAUGUACGAAAUGUUCCUACUCGACUUUAUAUGCAUGUGGUACUGUUUUCGAUAUCAGAGGUAUUUUCUGAGUGAUUUCACCGUCACUUGGACUGACCAUGAAUGCAUGAACAUCUCAUCAUGACUCGACAAUGCAUAAUUCAUAUAACUCGACAAUUUACAUCAACAACAUCAUCACAUCGUAUAUUAAUUCAUCGUCGCUAUAUCAUCAUCAUCAUCAUCAUCAUCAUCAUCAUCAUUUUCAAUGUCAUUAUAUCAUCAUCAUCAUCAUCAUAUCAACAUCUAUAUAUAGUUCAAAUCAUCAUGUCAAACCAUAUCAAUAUGUAUCCACCUCGUCUCGCAAUCACAUUCACAGUCAUCAUCAUUAUAUAUUCAUAAGACAUUAUUCUACAUCAUCAAGUAUACUUCGUUAAUCAUCUAACAAGUUCACAGUCAUUUCAUGAUUCAAUUAUAAUUAAAUCACAAGUUUAUUUCUAACCAUUUCAAUUGCUAAGUUUACUUCCAUCAUAAGCUAGGUUAAUUACUCUUACACAUCAAAAUUAUACUUCUAUUAAUCAAGUUUAGAGGUUUGUGACAUAUUCACAUGCAUUGGAUACCUUAAAAUACCAAAAAUAUGAGUUUCCCACUAUAGGGAGGGUUGCACGGUAGUGCCAUCCAGGUGCACAGUCGUGCUCAUCAUGCAGGUAGGGAAAAGCUAUAAUUUUUGCGUUUUGCUCAGGAAGAACCCCUUUCAACACCAUUUUUCGAUCCAAUUCACACCAAACUAGACCCAAAUCAUAAAACUAAUGUUGUCUAAUCAAUUACACAUUAAUUUUACCUUAACUAACUUUAUUAUACUCAUUAUUAUCGUCAAUUAACAUGAACUUCAAUUGUUUUAAACUUAUCACUUCAAACCCAUUUUUAACAUGGUAAUUCAAACCCCAAACAUAGUAACAACCAAAUCAACAUCCCUUAUUCAAAAUGAACACAAAAAAAUUCAUCAAUUCACAUUAUAAACAUCAACUCAACAAUUAUCAACAAUUAUCAUGAAUUUCACCAAUUUCACAUAAAACUCAAAAACCCUAAUUCACCAUAAUCAAACAUUGAUUUUAACACAACUGUUAGGUUUGUAGUCUUGACAUGUUGGUGCGACAUCAUAGCGUGCCUUGUUCCGAUUUCUUGGAGAUUGUAUUUAAAUGUGAAAUCGCAGAAGAAAACUAAACGCAUCACAACUAAGAAAAGGUAGAAUAAAACCUUUCUACAAACAAAGCGCACAUCACUUGAAAGCAAAAUAAAUACGCAACUAAAUUUCAAAAAAGAUAUGCAUAAAUUAUCAUAGAAUAAGGCACCAAGUAACACGUUCUUACGUCUCAGAUUACCAAAUGGCUCUCCGAAAAAUAACCAGAGUAUGAUAAAAUUACAGAUUUCCCAAAACAAAAGGAACAUAAACUAAAAUACAAAGCACGAAAACAAAGAAGACACAACAACAUAACUCUUCAUCCACUAACUUUCCAUCAACCAAAAUCUUGGAGGGGUCCAGCUCGCUCACAUUAUCAUCAGGGUUAAAAUGCAGAACUUGCGCCCUAGUAUGCUCAAAGCCAUUGUCAAAAUAUAAGGCAAGAUCCCCCUUGCCAUCCUCAACGACGAAUUGAGCUUUGGCGAGAUCCCCUUACAACUAGACGACCUUCUUCUUCCAUGAAUCUCUCUCCAGCUCAACAACUUCUUUUUCAUCCUUCAUAUCUUUGGUCGUCUUCUCUGCAGUCUUCUUAUCCUCCAAGGCUUCCUUCAACCUACUUUCAAGACCCGUUGCUUUAUGCUUCCACUUCUCCACAUCUUCAUGAGCGUCUUUAUACUUUGCCUCUAAAGCACCAUGUUUCUUCUCCAUCACUUUUCCUAAUAAAAGGACCCGGAGCACUAAUAUUCUUGUAUCCAUUACUAGCUCGCCAAAUUUGCUUUUAACGCCAGCAUCAACGUCAACCUUAGACAGUGGCACUUUAUCCUCCAUGUAGCUACGAUAAACGCAUGACUUAAAAGUUGAAAACCCACUAACAUUACUAGAAUUUAAGUAAAAUCUCAUCAUCAAAUUAAACUCUCAUACCUACGAAAGUCGAAAUCUUUAUGCCAAAAAGAGUCAGCCACCUGAACAUUCAGAGAAAUGGUUCCCGCCACCCCGCUAGCAUAAUCAUCAUCCUUCCGACUGGCAACAAAUGUCCGCUUCGAGUCGCCCUUCCCAGUCCUCAUCUUCUUGCGUCUGGGCGAGUCAGUUUGCUCAGCCAGUACCCCAUUGCCUGCCGUCUCCAUGUUAUCAAUGUCCAUAUCCGAAUGUAACAUCCUAAAAUUUUAAGUCUAUAUUCAAAUGUAGUUAAAAAUAUAAAACAUAAUAGUGUAAUUAUUUUAAAAUACGCGAAGAUAAAAAUAAAGACAAAUAAAUAUGAUAUAAUUUCUUAUUAAUAAUUAAAUUUUAUUGGAUAAAAAGAAAAGGAGAAAGAAAGAAAAACAAAAAUAAAGGGAGUGCAAAUAACAAUUAUUUUUAGAAAAGAAAAAAAAAGUUAUAUACUUUCUCGAAUUUUUUUUCUGCCCUUGUUUAUGCAAAAAAAUACAAAAAUGCCCCACUUUUUCGAAAAAUUGCGUAAAUGCCCUACUUUUUCAGAAGCCCCUGGUACUACUCCACUUGGAGUUGCGGGGUACCCUAAAAAGUCACAAUUUUUUUGUCCUUAUUGUACGCCGCUACUUGGACUUGCGGGGUACUUUCCUACUUUUUUUUUUCCACUUUUUUUACUACCCCGCGAGUCUUAGCUUUUGCUUUUUUUUUUAAAAUUUUUUUUUUUUAAAUACCCCUCUACUUGGAGUAGAGUGGUAUAAUGAAGACAAAAAAAAUUCAACGUGUAAUAAUUACUCUCAAAUAAUAAAAAACUAAUUAAAAUUAUAUAACCAAUAAAAUACCAUCUACAAUGAUUAUAAAUGCCCGGCUGUCCCACACCUUCGUCUUCGACGAUCUCUUCCGCGAUUUACUUGAGGGUUAUGUUGGUCUUCGUCAUUUUUAUUUGUAGUUGAUUGUAUCUGACUACCAUAACCCAGUGACAACGACACAUCGUGUUCUCUUGUUGGCCAUCCCAUAUCCAGAAAUUGUUCAUUGGAGUUCAACGAAGUCGGAGAGAAGUGAGAUAAUAGGUUUGUUGGUGUUGGUGGGUGGUUGUAGUUUUGGUUGGUGUACAUUGGGUAUUGUGGGUUGUUGUAGGGGGGUAAUUGGUGUUGGACGGUCCAGCUUGGUUUGGGUCAUUAUAGGAGAAGUAGUUGUUGUUGGAUGUGUUAGCUUGGUUUGGUUCAUUGUAACCAUAAUUUGUCAUUGAAUUUUGUUGGUAAGUUGACUGAUAUUGGGGCUCAUAUGCAUUUCUCGGGGAGGUAUAUGGUGGUGGUUGGAUGAUAUUUUGUUGGGGGGUGUCGAGAAAUUCAUACAUUACAGAACCAUGAAUGUUUUGUGUUGUAUGUGGUUGGGAUUGAUGAUCUUGUAGUUGAGAAAAAAUGUCUUGAUCCCAAAAAUCAUCAUGAAUUGGUGUUUGGUUGUUGUGAAUUUCAGGUUCAUGUUCCGGCUCCGGCUCUUCUUGUUCGUCUGGAUCUGAAUCUGAUGGUUUUGUCUCAACUGAAAUCCUUAGACGUGGGUUGCAUGUGGUUGUCAACCACUCAAUAUACGCAUGAGUUGGGGUGAGUGAUCUUGGCCGCAUGUGAGGUAAAAUAUAACUCCGUCGGUUGUCCCAAUGUAAGCUCUCUUGUGGAAAGUGAAAACCAUUUGAUUGGUACCACAUCUUGAACCGUUUGUCCACUAUAUGGAAUUGUCGCAUGUCUCGUGGGGCCCCUGGUAUUUCCUGUGGCAAACCAAAUUCUAGCUUGACCCUAUCAGUUGGAUGCCAUUCAACUCUGUCAAAACAUAUAAGGUGAGUUGUUGCAGUCCACUCCCAAUAGUCUUCAGGAAAAUUGUGUGGAACAUUCUUGUAUGGUCUCCAUUUAAACUGGCAGAAGAGAGAAGUUGUAGUGUAAGGUUAACAAUUUUGAUAUAUAUAUAUAUAUAUAUAUAUAUAUAUAUAUAUAGUUCGAUAGGUGAAAUAUAUAUUCAUUAUUAAUUAAAUAACUCCUAAUUAAAUACUUGUAAAAAAACUCAUGAUUAAAUAAAUAAUUAAUUUAUAAUCGCGACAUUUUUUUAGUCCUAUAUUAAUUGCAUGUCCUACUUUUUUUUUUCUUACAAAAGAAAGUUAACAUAUAGCUUUUUAUUUCUUUACGACCAUGAAAGUGUUAAUAUGUAGCUUAAAUAACAAAAUAUCUUAAUUAUAUUUAAUUAGACCAUGAAAGUUAGUUUACCCUUGAAAUUACAUAAAAAAAAAAUUACCGUUCAAUAUAUAUAUAUAUAUAUAUAUAUAUAUAUAUAUAUAUAUAAACUCAUACAUUCAAAAAUCAAUUAUAAUAUUACUUGAUGUUCCAGUAUGUCAUCAAACUUUUUUCUGUAAGAUAUAGUGUCAUGGCUUGGAUUCUCGUAGUAUCUUGAACCUGCACCUGUCCAUCUAACAAAUGAUAUAAACAAAUUAGUAGCUAAUUUAUCAAAUAAUAAUAUUAAUAAGAAGCGAGAAUAUGCGAGGAAAUUAACAAAAAAAAUAAAUAAAUUAAUUGACCACGAUUACUUUAAUCCUAGCGGCUACUGGAGUGGGUUAUCAUUUCUCGGAGCGAUAUAACUCAACCGACAAUAUCCCCAAACUUGUAACAGAAAAUGACAUCCAGAUAGUGCUUUUAUAUUUGGGUGUGAUGCCUCACACAAGCCACGAUAAAGGUAAGCCAAAACUGCCGAUCCCCAACUAUAAUUUCUUGUUUCAUUAAAAUCCAUUAACAAAUACAACCAAGAGUUGUGCACAAAUAAUCCAGUUGUAUUAGGAAACAAGAACCCUCCAAAGAGGUAUAGUAGGUACCUCCUGUGUGUUGUAUUUUUACCUCCGGAGGAGAUUGUUCACUGAAGUUAUUAUCGACCAGAUUAUCCUUUAAUCACGACAACGAGAGAGUAAAACCAUCAGUUUUGUGUGCUGGAGGAGUUAUUCCCAACAAUUGAGCACAAUUAUUCCACAGAAGAUUUGGAGGAGCCGUAACAAUUGGUCCUCCAAAAGGUAAGCCGAGUAAAAUAUAUACGUCUUCAAACGUGAUUGUACAUUCACCCGUUCGAAAAUGAAAAGUAUGUGUUUCGGACCGCUAUCUUUCUACAAGAGUGGUUACGAUGUGCCUAUCAAUUUUGUAACGCCCUAUUUGAGAAACCUCAAAAAAUCCAGCUUGACGUAGAUAAUCUUCAAUAUAAGGACUUGGUAUGAUGUUUUGCCGUGUACGAGUGGUUAGAGGUGCACCCUCUGCAUCCUAACAAAAAAUAAUAAAGGAAUAAAAUUAAAACAUAAUCAAAAUAUAAAUUUAAAAAAACGUGAACAUAUUUAAAUUAAUAUUAAAAAAUAAAAAUGACAUUAACAAAUUAAUAUCUAUAUAUACCCAUCUUCUUAUAUGUUCUUCCAUGGAUCUAUGAUCAUUUUCCAACCACAAGUAUGCCAUUGCUUUAUAGAAUUUGAUUGAAAUAAUCUCUUAUGUGAGUGAGUAAGGAAAGGAUUGAGAUAAGUAGAAUAUGUGUAAAGAGUAAAAAUAUAGUUGUGGUAUUUAUAAUGUAAAACUAUGUGUAAAUGGUAGAAGUAGUAGUGUGGUAUUUUAAUCAAUGAAGUGAAGAGUUCCUGUGUUACUACUGCAACGCAUGCAAGCCAACAGUGUUCAAAUAAACAUAGAAAUGACAAUUGCAUCAAUAGCAGAAGCAUGGUGUUCAACAAUAUUGAAUUAAUUCGUAAACUUUGCCUCAUGAGAUGACCAUUGCAUGUAAAAAAUACAUUAAUUUCUUGCAAGAAAUUUUUGACUGAAAUGACCAAUGCAUGUUUUGAUCACGUGAAGCAUGCUAGCAAACAAAUGGCCGACAAGCUGCCUCUGAAUAACCAAUAGGAACGGCGCGUGCAAAUACUACCCCGCCACUCUGGGUUGCGUGGUACCCCCAGCUGGCGCAUGCUUUACAUACCCCGCCACUCCAGCUUGCGUGGUACCCCCCAGCUGGCGCGUGCUUUACCUACCCCGCUACUCUAGCUUGCGUGGUACCCUCUAGCCCGCUAGUCCAAACUGCGUUGUACCUUUUUUAAUUUUCCCGCUCGAAGGGCAGAUUAAAUUACAUGUUAGUAUAAAUAAAAGUGGUCUGCAUGAUAUCAUUGUAUCAAACCAUUCUACUUCAUACUCUUACUCAUUUCUUAAGAUCAAACCAAUUCAAUGGCACCAAAUAUAAACGUUUUUGUGUACUAUAAUGGAGAAGUUAAACAAAAUGAAUCCGGUAUUUUUUUUCAAAGUCAGUAUACCAAAGGUUUUAAAGUCAGCAUGGCUAGUACUUACUUGCAUCUCAAAAGAAGAAUUGCGGAAAAAGUAUGUCUCGAAGAUAAUAUGGUUGUGUCUGAAAUUAUGUGUCGGAAUCCUAUGUUUGUUGGAACUACCACAAUUCAUUACCAGGCGUUAAGAAUAACUGAUAACGACGAUGUCGAGUUUAUGUUUAACGUACAUAAAAGUCACAGUUCUUUGUCCUAUAUAGAGCUUUAUGUUACGUUUGAGAUGAAGAAUCCAACAUCUAAUUUUGAGUUAAAUUACCCAUCGAGUUCUAGUCAACACCAAAGUCUACCACAACACUACAAUCCGUCAUCGUCGCAAGAACACUACAACCCAUCAUCGUCCCAACCGCACUAUAACCCGUCUCCCAUUUAUGAUGCAUCCUUAUCGCAACCUUUUCAGUCAAAGUGGUCACAAAAUGUGUACGAACCAUCACAAAUAAUAACUCAACCUCAUCCCUCUCAAACACCAUCUCGUUCAACACAACCCAAAACCUUAAACGAUGAAAUCAAUAUAUUCACCUCCCAAUUUCAAGACCAACCAAAUGAUGAAGUUCAAGAUGAUGAAGACGAUGAUGAUGAAGAACUCCUUGCCGCACAAAACGGUGACGAGAACGAAGAAGACGAAGACGACGAUCUGCCACUACUACCAAUUUUACCAAUCAGAGCUUCUUACAACCCACCAAGGUCCAUGCGCAACGUCAAUGAUGACCACUCAACUGAACUUUAUCAUUCAAUGGCUCUUCCGGUCGAUCAAGGUAUUGCCCUAGGGAUGCAAUUUCAUAACAAGAAUGAUUGCAUUCUCGCAAUUAAAUUUUAUCACAUGAAAAAAUCAACGGAUUAUAUUGUGAAAAAAUCAGAUCCUGAAAGGUAUGUCAUCAAAUGUAAAGAUACAAAAUGUGGUUUCAAAUUGCGGGCCUCGUGGAGGAAAAAAACUGAUAAAUGGGAGAUUGGGAAAAUGAAUGAUCAUACAUGUGUCUCAACAGAAAUGACGCAAGAUCAUCAUAAACUUAGUUACAAUGUGAUAUGUGAAAGUGUUAAAUCACUACUACAUAUGGAUACUUCAAUUACAGUGAAGGUUAUAAUUGCACACAUCCGAGAGAAGUUUAAUUACACAGUUUCAUACAGAAAGGCAUGGAGAGCACGGAAUAAGGCGAUUAAAUCAAUUUAUAGUAAUUGGGAGGAGUCUUAUGAAGAACUACCACAAUGGUUGAUGGUCAUGGAAAAAGAUUUGCCAGGAACAAUAAUUGAUUUUCAAACGGACCCAUCAACAGAAGUGGCAAAUGAGACCGUCUUCAAGCGUCUUUUUUGGGCCUUUCGUCCGUGCAUCUCAGGUUUCGAAUUCUGCAAACCAAUUGUCCAAAUUGACGCAACUUGGUUGUAUGGUAAAUACAAGGGAACAUUGUUGUUAGCUGUUGCGCAAGAUGGGAACAACAAGAUAUUUCCCAUAGCUUUUGCAAUCGUGGAAGGCGAGACCAAGGAGGCAUGGAGUUUCUUUUUGAAAAAUUUAAGGCAGCAUGUCACCCCACAAGAGAACAUAUGCCUCAUUUCUGAUAGACAUGUGUCGAUAAAGAGCGCGUAUGAUGAUCCACAGAAUGGAUGGCACGAUGCUCCGACAAGCCAUGUUUAUUGUGUCCGACACAUUGCACAAAACUUUAUGAGAUCAUUCAAGGAUGGAGAACUAAAGAAGAAAGUUGAAUGCAUGGGUAAAAAUCAUAUCUCUUUCCACGUAAAUUCGACAUUUUAUUUGUUUAAAAUGACACAUCUAACUUUUUUCAAAACAAUGCAGGUUACGCCAUGAACAUCCCUACAUUCGAAUACUACCGUUCUGAAAUUGCUGUUGCAGACCGAAAGGCUUUAGCAUGGGUCGACAAUAUUCCCAAACAAAAGUGGACUCAAUCACAUGAUGAUGGUCGACGAUGGGGCCAUAUGACAAGUAACUUGGUAGAGUCACAAAACAACGUGUAUAAGGGUAUUCGAGGACUUCCGAUCACAGCUAUCGUGAAAGCAUCAUAUUACAGGUUGGCGGCCUUGUUUGCUAAAAGAGGACAUGAGGCAGCGGCAAGGGUAAAUUCUGGUGAGCCAUUCUCAGAAAACAGCAUGAAAUAUCUCAGGAAUGAGGUGAUUAAAUCCAACAGUCAUCAUGUCACACAGUUUGACCGGGAUCGGUAUACCUUUUCCGUCCGUGAAACCAUCGACCAUAAAGAAGGAUUGCCAAAGGGAGAAUACAAGGUGGACCUGCAAAAUAAAUGGUGUGACUGUGGACGAUUCAGAGCGUUACACCUACCAUGCUCACAUGUCAUUGCCGCAUGUUCUAGCUUUUCUCACGACUACAAGACUUUUGUCGAUAACAAAUUCACGAAUGAGUGUGUAUACGCCGUAUACAACAUCCACUUCGACGUGGUUCACCACCAGACAUAUUGGCCUAAUUAUGAAGGACUGAAGGUGGUUCCCAACAAGUCCAUGUGUAGGGUAAAGAAAGGUCGUCCACCAAUUACUCGCAUUAGGACCGAGAUGGACGAUGUGGAAACUGAGAGAAGAUGCGGCGUUUGUAGGAUGCCUGGUCAUUCCCGCAAAGAUUGCAUUAAUAUUAGACACCAGUAAAAAUCUAGUCUUUAUUUCGUUUGUAGGAUGUAUGGUCAUUUCCACAAAUAAUUGUAGAUUUUAUGGUAUUUUAUUGGUUAUAUAAUUUUAAUUAGUUUUUUAUUAUUUGAGAGUAAUUAUUACACGUUGAAUUUUUAUUUUUUUUUGUCUUCAUUAUACCACUAUACUCCAAGUAUUUAAAUUUUUUUUUAAAAAAAGCAAAAGCUAAAACGCAAGUCCAACUUGCGGGGUAGUAAAAAAAGUGGAAAAAAAAAAGGAAAGUACCCCGCAAGUCCAAGUAACGGGGUACAAUAAGGACAAAAAAUUUGUGACUUUUUAGGGUACCCCACAACUCCAAGUGGAGUGGUACCAGGGGCUUAUGAAAAAGUAGGGCAUUUGCGCAAUUUUUCGAAAAAGUGGGGCAUUUUUUUAUUAUCUUUGCAUAAACAAAGGCAGAAAAAAAAAAUUCUACUUUCUCCCCACGUUUUCUCAAAAUUUGUUUCUAAAAUAAUAAUAAAAAAAGAAAUAGUUAUUUCAGAAAGAGAAACCGUGUGAUAUUUUUUAAUUAGUGUACACCUACACUUCUCAUGUGCCUAUAAAUAAGAUGCUUAGUUGAACAUAAACUCACACUACAAAACUCUCCUCUCUCUAAAAAAUCAGGUUAGUUCUCUCUCUCUCUCUCUCUCUCUCUCCUUUUCUGAACUUUCUCUAUUCAAUCUAUAGUCAUUCUUUAUUCUUUUGAAAGAGACAAGAUUUACUACUAAAAUAACCUCAGAUUUGGUCCCCACAACCCUUCUUUUGGGAAGAACAACAACAUAGUAUACCCUUCUUUUGGGAAGAACAACAACAUAGUAUUAGAAUGUUCUUUUAUCAGAUGAGAAAGUGACAGUAGUUUAGUUCUUUUCAACCUAAUCAAACCAUGAAAAUAGUUUAGCUCUUUUCAACCAUUCUUUUUCAACAGAAACAUCAUUCAAUAAAAUAAAAUAAAGAGAUCUCAGAUCUGUUUUAGACUUUUAGUAGAAAAAAUUACACGAUUUAAUUAUUGUAUUUUUUAUACUGAUACAAACUAUGAAGAUUGAAACAAAGUUCAUAAGAAAGUUGAGAUCUUGUUUAAUUCAUAUUUUUAGUUUAAAGAAAAAUAAAGAAAUGAACAUUGUUUUAAGAAUGACGUAAUGACUAUUAAAUGGCUUUUAAACAUUCUGACUAUAUAAAAAGGUAGUAACAUAAGUUUCAUUUGAAAUAAAAUAAAAUCAAGCUAUUAUUAAAAUAUAUCUAAUAUAAUCUGAAGAAAAAAAAAGGACGUGAUACAGAGAAACAAAGGAAUUAGAAAACUUUAACUCGUUAUCUCUAUUAUUAUGACCUUGAUAAUGACUAUAGUCUAAUAGAUAGUUUAUUUUGGGUGAGUAUUCUAGGUGAUAUUGGAGCUGCUUUCGACGGAAACAAUAUUGCAACCACUUGCGAAGAAUCCGAAGGUAAGGGGAAUUACUACUAAUAAAUUUUAAAGAUUUUGCAUAAGUUAUGUGCUUAAGUGAUUAUAUGUGAGUAAAUAACUCUACUUGUGAGAGUUAAUUUCUCGAUGAUGUGGUAAUUUCUAGCGAUCAAGUACAUGUCAAAGGACAUCGACUUAUAUGUGUUUUAGUUAAUAUAAUUAGGAGUUUUUGAAAAUAUAAUACAUAAGUAGAAGAAAAAGUUUUGUAAAUGAUGAAUUGAUUAGAUAGUUAUAUUAUGUUUAUUUGGUAUUACUCUUGUGUAAGUGAAUGAGCAUAUGAAUUUCAAUAAGUGUUAACUGAUUUCGAUGAGUGAAAUUAGUUGGAAAUAUAUGAUUUAAAGUGUCAAUUAUGAUUCGACGCGAUAAUUUAUAAUGUUAAUCAUGAUUAAAAACUUCUCUAUAAAAAGAAAUGAUCUAAGAGAGAUAGUUGUAUCCCACCUCAUUAAUUUUAUGGUAUCAACUCAUAGGUAUGUUGUAAAGGAAAGAAACUUAAGAAUGCCAAACUAUGAUCACUAACUUAGUACGUAGACAUAGUAUAUAUAGUUAUAUUGUACGUGUAGGAAAUUCUUUAAAACAAAUGUAUAUGUGCUUUUUAACUAGGCAACAUGAAUUAUUCUUUGUUAAAAUCUCAUGAAUAAAAAGAACAUGUACUAGUUUAAUUGAAUUACCUAAGUUCUUACUUACUGCUGAAAUUUCUAUGCUUAUAAAUAAAUGAAAAAGAACAUAUGCUGGUCAUUAAUUGUUCAGUUAUUAUGUACUGGCUUGAUUUACUUGCUGGAAUUUCUAUGCUUAUACAUAAAUGAAGAGGGACAUAUGCUGGUUAUUAUUUGUUGAGUUAUUAUAUACUGGUUUGAUUUACAUCACUGUACUAAUUGAAUAAAAUUCUGAUGUGGCUAAUCAAUUUUAUAAACAUAAAUGGUUAAUUGUUUGACAUUGUUGAGUUGAAUAUGAGUGUUUUGUCUUGUCUAGAAAGUAGGGACAAUUAAGGAGCUAUAACAGGUCCCUAUACACUCAGGUGUAGAUGAGAAUGAGGAUAGUUAUGGUUUGGUUACUUUGAGGAUCUAUCGAGGGCACUUGUGUUUCGAACGCCUAUCAAUAGUUGGGGAUUGCUUCCCGGCUGAAAGUACUCGUACUACCAGACACGGUGAGCCUGAAAAAACUAGACUAUCUAUGAUAAGGUAGUGCGAUCGGACUAGAAUGAUUAGAGUUUAAGCAUAUCUUGCUCAAAAUACUAAUAAUCAUGAUAUAGUUGCCGAAACGGCCUUAUGCUCAUUAGAGUGGAACCUCCAUGGAGUAGUGAAUUAUGAGAAGAAAAUAAACUAGAGUCAAGAAAAAAAAAGUCAAAAGAGUUCAUGCAUGUGUCAUGUUGAAUGUCAAACUAUUAAUUCAAAUUGGACCUCUUAAAAGAUAGUUUUUUUUUUUUUUUUUUUAUAAUAUGCUUUGUGAUUGUUGUUGGACAGUGAAUGAAAAGAAAAUAUUAUAUCUAUGUAAAUAUCAUUUUACCUUGCUGUAUAUAUAUUAUUUUCUUUUUCCUUAUGUAAUAAAUCACGUGGAAAACUUGUGUACGAGUAAUUCACCCUUCUUUGUUUGUUUUUGUAUCUUGUUGUUUUUUUUGGGUAUGUUCGGACGUUUUUAUAGAUGAUGCCAGAAAGACAUUUAGCUCACUCGGGAACCCGCAUGAUCGAGUUCCUUGAGGUAUUUUCUUUUGCAACACUUAUUAAAGAAGAAAGUAAUAAUAAAUCAAAACACUCACACAAAGACGCCUCAAGACUAUUGGAAUCACCCUAUCGUAUCAAAAGCUCAUGAAUAUCCAUAAGUAAAAACUUCUCCAAAAAGAACACCAUACCCUACUCAUAGGGUGCCAUCUUAUUAAAAUCAUACCCCAUCACUGCAAUCGGAGCAAUGAUCCAACAUAAAGGAAACUUUGGUUUUCCUUCCACCAUCACCAACGAAGUUGAGCCCUCAGGCUCUCCUUGCACCCUAACAAACGAAUCACACCAAUCCUUCUUAAAGUUAGAAGCAUAAGGAGGGAAAAGUUUUUUACUAGGAUAGGCACUAAUUGAAACCCACAUUCCCUUGUUUACAUCUUUCGUCCUAUAAAAAUGGAAGAAGACGCCAACAGAAGGCUCCAAACUCAUCCUUACAAAGUAGUUUGAAUCCACGAAUAAACGCCUAGCUAUUAGGACGUAUUUGCGAAGGCGCCACAUUCAGAAACUUUAGCACAUCCAUCUCAAAAUCCGUAAAGGGUCGUCACCCCAAACUCUUCCAACACCGUCAUAUACAUAAGAAAGGAAUCAUCCCUGACACCCUCCAAACGCUGAUCGCACACUCUCUCGCCUACAUCACAGGGCGACACUGUCACAUCUUUCUCGUUCUCAGUAGCAGAAGUAUCCAUCUUGUUUCAGAAUAAAUUGAUAUCCGAAGGCGACAUAUAUGAAAACACCGCUCGAAGAACUUCUUCAGCUAAAUGAUUCAUCUCCAACUCAUAAGAAUACGUCAAACACAUAAUCUCUUUUUGAGUAGACGGAAGAGGCAUAUAAUGACAAAUCUCUUGACAAGUUUUCCCCCUACGACAAAUCACUAUCACUACCAUUAGAGCUAUCGCUACUAGUGUUGCUAUCAUUGGACAAUUCCCCUAAAACCCUACGAUAAAAAAGCCCUAAUUCGUAAGCUUCCCAAUCAAUCAAGUCAUUAGGAUGUGUUGCAUGUCUUAAAGAAUCUCUCCUCAGUUGGUCUCUCUCAUCAAAAUUCGUAGGAGAGAAGGCGAAAAAUGAGAGAAGGAAAAUGGAAGAGUACUUGAGAAGAUUGAAAACGUGAGCUUAGAAAUCCAGACAAUCAGCUGGCAAGUGCGCGAAUACGGAGAACUAAAAGGCGAAAAAUGCGGAAGUGAAAUGAGGAAAGGAAGGAAAUGAAGGGUCAAAGAGUUUUAGAGGACAACAACAAUUAAAACCCCCUCAAAAAACACGCUCAUCCUUGGCACGAUUGGAGACACGUGUCAAGAUACACCCAGAUUCGAACACGUCACUAUCAUCGAAAGGUCACACAUUUUGGACCAUACAAUCAUGUUAAAAAUGAAAGAUCUCGUCGAUAUAGAAUUUCAAAAAACUCGUUGCCAACUCCUCAAACAGGAAACUUACUCGCCGUGCUGUUACAAAUCACUUCGCCUUGUCCCAAGACUCGUGGUUGGGGGCUGUGAACAAACAUCAGGCAUAAAACGCAUGACUCGACUAGCACACACCCUAGGGGGCUCUAGGAUAAAGCAUAAUCACCCAAGGGGGACUCUGUAAGCUCCAACAACAACAUCCAAAGACAUACACAAAAAAUACUGAUAAACGUAAAAUAAAUUCCAAAUGCUAAUUAAUCAUUUCGCCUUGUCCCAAGACUCGUGCUUAGGAGGCUUUGGACCGUCAAUAUCUUCUUAAGGACCUAGAAGUCCUCCCAAAGGGCAUUUAGACCCUCCUAGAUGCCUAACACCCUUCAAAAGGGCUCUAAGGCCCAACACGCGCCCUUCCUAGGGAGCCGCCUCUACCAGCUUCUAAAACCUCCAAAGCUCGGCCUAAAUACCUAAUACGAUUACAAACCCUAAUACCUCAUUACGUAUAGCUUAAGAACCAUAAAUCAGGCCAAUAGAGGGCUAUAAAUACAACCUUUGAGAGCCUUCUGAAGGCAUGACCAAUACAUUACAAACCCUAAUACGAUUAUUGUACUUUUGCAAGUACAAUGAGGAAGGCGAUAUUGACAGGGAAAGUUUCCACCUAAUUUGGGCUAAAAACAUGGACUUUUGGGGGUAAAAAAGUCACAAAAAGUGACUUUUUUCGCAAGGAGCAGGGCGCCUAGCGCAUAAUGGCAUGCACCUAGCUCAUGUUCCUGCUAGGCUGAGGCGCCUAGUGCCCCUUUCAUGCGCCAGACGCUUCAGUUGUUUAGCUUAGGGGCACCUAUUGUGCACCUGGGUGCAUAAGUGCCUUUUCAGUGCCUUUUCAGUGCUGUUUUUCUUGUUUUCUUUGCCUUUUGAGGUGUUUUCUUCAAUGUAAGAUGUCUUGGAACUUGAGAACAAAAUUCCUUCCUUUGUAAAGACUUCUGAGGCAUCUUGAAUCUUCAUUAUUCAUCUUCCCAAGGUCCACAUAAAUCUUCAAAUGUCUUGCAUUGUCUGAUUUGCUUGAUUUCUUCGUGAAUUACUUCAACAACACCCUAAAAUUGCUAUUUUUCAGGAAGAAUAGAAUUACAAACUCAAUAUAAAAUACAUUACAAAUGUACCGAAAUCAUAGGCAAUUGAUCAAAUACUCUUCUUCUUUGCUGGUAAAACCUACUGAAAUUGACUGAAAAAUGUAACAGCCCUAUUUUCGUUAGAUUUAUUUUAAUUGUUUUAAUAUGUGUUUAUUUAUGCUUAUGUGUGAUUAUUAUCAUUGGGUGCAUUUUUAUGGGUUUUCGUGUUGGAAGGAUAAUUUAGUAAUUUCAUGUAAGGAUUAUUUUUAGUGUUUCAAGUGAGAACCAUUAUUUACUAAGUUACUAGUGUGGUAAUUAGUUGUGAGCCGGUAAGUGAUCGUUGUUAUUAUUUUACCGUUAAGGGAGUAGAAACAUUUUAGAAUUAGUGAAUUAGUGGGUUAAGCCCACUAAGGCAUUAGGGUUAAACCCAAUUGAGAAGAGCCUAUAUAAGUUCUAGAUUUUAGAGAAAAAUAGGUUUCCACUUCAUUUCAUAAGAAUUUUGAGAGAGGUAGAGAUAGAAAGUUCAAGAGAAGAGGAAAAUGGUUAGAAGGGAGAAAAGCUUGAAGACUCAAGAGGUGAUAGAGAUUCUAGGACCUAAAUUGAAGCUUUUGCUAGGAUUUUUGCUAAUUGAGGUAAGGGGGUUAGAUUUCAAUCAUAAUAACUUAGUUGUAGCUUUUACCCUAAUUUCAUGUAUAAAUGCUUAUUUGUAUAAAGUGAUUAUUAUGAAAUUAAUUGAUGAAAUUCGUGGUUAUGCUUUGAUGUGAUGUUUGGGUAUGUGAAAUUGAUGUUAAUUAAGUUGUUGAUGAAGAAUUUACAUGCUCAAGUUAUGUAUAUAUGUAUACUUGUGUUUUUGCUCAAAAUUGAUGAAGUAUAAUGUUAUUGUUGGUGAAUUGUUGAUGAAUUCACUUCUGAUUGUUGUUGUUGUGAUUGUGAGUAGUUGUUGUUGAUGAUUGAAACCUUGGGUAAUCUUAACCAUAGAGCUUGAAGUGAGUUUCUAUUGUUCUUGAAGUUUUCAUGAAAAAUAGGUCAAAUGGUAAUUUUGUUGAAAUUAUGUUGGAUUCAAGUUUUUAUAUGGAUUUGAGUGUCUUUUCAUGUUUAGACAAACUUUGGGAUCAAAUUUGGGUAUUGGGUCAAAAUUGGGAUUUUGGGGUGAAAAAUGAGUUUUUUUUUGUAGUAGAACUCCAGAAGCCUGUCACAACUCGCCAUGGCGAGCGGGAGGCGAGCAGGAGGUGCUUCCUGUGUGUUAACUCCCCAUGGCGAGUGAUUCACUCACAGGGCGAGCUGCACAGUGACAUCAUUCCCUGUUUCGCAAUCUUGCGUCUUUUUCACAUAUUUUUGUUUUGAAUUGGUCUUUGGUAUAAAUAUGAAAGUUUUAGAUAAUUGUGUUAGCUUUCCAGUGGCGUUGGUUUGACUUGAAAAUGAUUUUUGGUUUUUGAGUUAUGAUGAAAAUACUCCAAGGAGGUCUUAGUGAAAUUUUAUGAAAAUUCCGCAUAACUAUUUCUAAGUCAACCCAAAACUUAUGGAUUGUUUCCAAACUUCAAAACUUGUGUACUAUGAGUUAAAUUAAUGUGUUUAAGAGUAUUUAAGCUACGUUGUGGUGAAUUUAACUUGGUUUUGUUUUGAAAGUGAAUUGGUUUUACAUUAUGAGUAAAGCGAUACGAACUUUGCAAAACUUUGAAUUUAAGUGAGUUGGCCUAUGGGACCUUGAUGUAUACACUAUUGCACUCAUAUGUGAUUGGUGUAUAUACUUAGUUGAGGUUUCCAAAUGUGUUUACCUUGUUUUGUCGGAUAACUUGAAAAUUGGUAAAAUGAUACGAACUUGUCGUAACCUGUGAUUUUGAUGAUUUUGUCGUAGUAGGCCGGUGAAACGCACAUGUAUAUUCAACUACACUCAUAUGUGAUCUAAGUGUAUACAUAGUCGAGGCCCUAGAGUUUAUUUACUUGGUGUUAGUUCAUUUGUCUCAAUUAUUUUAAAGUUGUAAAAUGAGAGUUGAACUUUGUCAAAAAUGGUUCUUUAAAGCCAAUUACCUUAUAAAUCUUUUGUAGAUAACUUUAUAUGACUAAAUGAAGAUAUGUGAAUGAAUUUUUAAUUGUUGAAUAUGAUAUUAUCAUAAGGUGUUGCAUUUUCUCUUUACUUGGAAUAUGAUAAGUAUUUGGAAUGGUGGAACUAUACUAUAUGGUUGAUGUUGAUUAAUAUUUAUAUAUCAAUUGAUGUUGAUGAUUACUGAUAAUUAUGAUGAAAAUGUGAUGAUGACUCUUAAUUGGAUUAUGACUUUAUUGUUGUGUGGACGUAAAUAUUUGAUAAUGCAAUUGUUGUUGAUGUUAUCCUUUAUAUUGUUGUUGAAUAUUUAUGAGGUGAUUUUGCAUUGUCAAGUCUUUCCUUGUAUGUCCAUGCAUCAUAGUCAUGUUGAGUCUUGAUGUUGUAAAGGAGGGUUACUCUUUUACUUUGGUGAUAAUGUAAGACGGGUGUGAAAUUUUACAUAUGAUGUUUUUGUUGCAUCAUGUGUGACGACCUUGAGGUGAUUUGGUACCACAUGCAUAUAUGUGUCGGGAUUAGGCACAUAUCAUAUUGGCGUGAGUCUUAAUUGAUGUAUUUGAAUGAUGAUUGAUGAUGAUAAGUGUGUUUGAUGAAUACAUACUUGUGAUAUUUAGAAUUGUUGCAUGAAUGUGUAUAUGGAAGUUAAUUGCUCAUGAUUAAUUAAUUGAUACUUGAUUUGAUUCAUUUAUGUCUAACUAUUUAUGUGGAUUAUGAUUGUUGUAAAGCUUACCCCUAGUGGUUUUGACCACCUACCUGUCUAUAUGGAUGGGUAGACGAAGUGCAAGAUUAGUCGCUUUGGUGAGUUGCUUGGUGAUUGCUUAGAUAGAGGGAGUUAUCUCCGUUAUCGUUUCCUUAGAGUCUUAGGAUAGGCUCUGAUCUAGGAUGUAUGUCUUAUGAUUAUUCUAGAUUGUUUAUUUUGGAUUUAUUUGUGUUGUGGAGAUUUACCCAAUUGUCGGAAUUUGAAGAAUUUUUAUGUUGAUGUAUUUUGACCUCAUGGCAUGUAUACUUUUGAAGUGUAUGGUUUAUAUCCGCUGCAACGGUAUAGAAUUUUUAUAUAUGCUUGUUAUUUGAACAUUGUUGAUGAUGUGGCGUCUAUUUCUUGGAUAUUUAUAUUAUUCGCGUGUUUUAUUGCUUUAAUAGAAAUAGGGCGCUACAAAAAACAUGCUAAAAAUAACGUAAGAUGUCCUGUCAUCAUACAACGAUUGAGAAAAAGAUAAAGAUUGUCUAAUACCCAAGACUUCUUACAUAACUAUUUCAUCAAAGCAGAAUAGUUCAAAAACUGGAAGGUGUGGGUUUUCAUGACCUAGGAAUACAGGUAGCUCAAGUGAUGACAACAUAAUUUAUGGGAAAUAUGAGAAUCAUCAAGUCUGUGGUAAUGUCAAAUGGAUUCUCAAUCAGAAAAGAAUGCAGAACCUUUAUCCCAGACUUUCCCUCGAUCAUCCAAGAACCAAAUACCAAAGAUCUAGCAGACCUAGUGUCACAAGCUUCUGAAGAUCUAAUCUGACAUGGACCAUGCUCCUAGGGCAUGGACCAUGCACCUAGGGUAGGGUGCGUUUCACAGUCACAUGCGCCUAGGGCAUGGAGUGUGCUCCCUGAGAACUAAAAAAGUGUGGGGCAAAAUUGAUUUUUUUUCGACUUUUGUGUUGUUAUUUUAUGUUGUGAUUUUCUCAGAUUGGAGUGGAGGUAGGAUGUGAGAGUUCAACAGAUCACCAUUUGUAUGACUGAACAGACUAUUCAGAAAAUCUGAAUCAGUGUUUUGAUAAAUGGUUUAGCUAGAGGGUAAUGAUAUAGGUGGCGAAGGAAUAAUGAUGGAUGGUACUGAAGAAAUGUUAACAUAUUAUGUAAGCUCAAGAUCAAUACCUUUUGUAUUAUGAGAUUCUUCUGCUUUGCCUGGUGAGGUUGGCUCAACGGUAGCUGUUGUGAGGUUGGCUCAACGGUAGCUGCUUCUGUGACUAGCAUGCUGACUUCUUCUGCUUGCUUCUGUUGCUUCUCUUGGUUCUCACACUCAUCUACAUCGAUGAAUAUUAGAUGACACAAAUCUUCCUUAGCAUGUACAUUCUUCUUCCUUUCUGGUGAGGGAAUGAGUGAGUGAAUAGUACCAGAGUUCCUUGUGAGCUUGGAAAAAUCCGUUUUGUAGACAGAUCACAAAGUCACAUACUCUUAAUUUGUCUCUGAGUCGGUUUUGGAUUGCCUCGUCUUUUUGGGUGCUUGAGAAACUUUCUCAUCACCUUUCCUCUUAACCUCGACUUUCUUUAACUUCUUUGUUGGAGGAGAUGUUGUGACUUUGGAUGAUUUCCUCUUAUUCUUCUUGUUGUCUGCAGUUUCUGAGUCACCAGGAGUUUAAUCCGGAAAGAACUAAUCCGCAACUAAUUACUAAUAUUUUUCAUUGAAAAAAAAUAAUUUUAAAUAAGACUGGUACCUUGGUCUGUUGUAAAUUUGUAAGAACUAAUUUGACAGACAAUGAUAUAACUCAAAGACUAAUUUAUUUGUAAGUGCAAUAAUUUUGUUACUAAUUUUUGACCGUAAAUAACACACAAGUUAGCAGAAGGACCAAGUUGUUCAAUAUAAUUCAAAAUGUGAUUGUUUUUGCCAUGGCAUCCCCCAGUUUUUCUAUAAUUACACAAGAUUCCCUUUGUCUCGAUGGUUAGGAAGUACAAUUUUCUUUUGGAUGUCUCGUGUCUGAGUCCUAAUUCCCCUCAUUUUUAUAUUUCUAUUAUAUUAUAUUUUAAAUUUUAUUAAAAAAAUGUUCUUGAGGGGGAAUCGAACACGCACCACUACACUGAAUUCUAGCAAAAAACUGACCCCUAGACCGGUUACUGAUCUGAAGAAUAUUAUGAAACAACUAAACAUAUAUUCCAUAAAUUUUGGCACCCCCAAGAUAAAAACUCAAGAUCCGCCAUUGCCUAACUCAAGGUCCUAAAUACGCCACUACCAUUAACUAUAAUUAAUAAGAGUGUUUUAGAAAAUGAAACAUAUUUUGAACAUAUUUCUUAUCAUUUCUUUAACAAUUAUGUAAAACUCAAAAGGAACCCUUAAUUUGAGACAGAGGAUAUAUAAUAAUCGAUGAAGUUUAAUAUCUGCAAAAAAGUGUUAUUAAGUGAAGUAAACUUAACAAGGGUGACACUUGUUUUCUUUUGGUAAGGUGUGGGAGCACUCUUGACUGAGUUUCUAUUUUUUUUUUUUAUAUUCUUUUGAAAGUUGUAGUGGUGUAAUUGGGUGGUUAGUUGAAGUAAUUUUCGUUUUGGUUCUUGCUUGAUCUAUUUUGCAUUGUGAAAUUUCAAUUCUUAGUUUGCUUUCUACAUUGACGGAGUUGCUAAGUUGCAAUCAAACUUUUGAGUGUGUAUUAAUUAUAACAGUAAGAGUGUUGCUAGCACUACUCUUAUAUAAAAUCAGAUGUAUUUUUAAAUUUAUUUAUUUAUUUUUUUUUUUUUAAUUUCUACGAAAGUGGUGCACUUUUCCAUGAAUAUGCUUUUAGUGCAACUCCUUACCAAUGUAGUCAAACAAUUUCUUAAAACUCAUUGUUAUUAGUCAUUUCGAAACAAUGUAUUCACCAAGACAAAGGAGUGGGUGGAAGGAUAAUGGGUGCAUGCACAAUCAAGAAAAAGUUAGGUGAACAUUACAAUCAAAAUAUAUAGCAUAGAGCAUCAAAAUUUAUCGUAUGAAACAAUGUUUUUCUAAAAUAUGAAUGUGAACAAAUAACCCUUCAACUCAUAAGAUGAUCUUUAAUAUAUAGAAUUAGAAAGUUAGAGUAUCAGUACACCGAAAUUUAUAUAUUCAAAAGUGAGGCGUAGUUGGUUUUCCUCUUUAUGUAGUAUAGUUCGGUUUUUCCAUUUUAUUAUGGUACUUAUUCCUAUCAAAUUGAUAAAUCAGCUUUAUCUUAUAAUUGAUUUAACUAAUGAUGACUUGAACAUCAAUAUUAUAUAUUCGGAUAUACGAGUACUUCAUCGUGCUCUUAAUUUAGAGAUGUUUUGAGUUUGUUUACAAAUUGAAUCUUUGAAUUUUAGACAUAGAACUUGUACUCUUUUAGAUAUAAUAUACCGAUUUGAAUGGAUAAAUACCGUAAUUCCAAACAUAUAUUUUUUUUUCACACACAUACCUCAUCCAUUACGAAACGCAGGAACUAAAGCUAUAUAAUAUAGUGAAGCUAAUUUAAUAAAAAAUAUAUAUAUUUGGUGAUGCUAAACUCAGUCUAACUUAAUGCCAGUUCAAAAGGAACACUGUGGUAUGGAGGAAUUCUUUGUUUUGCAUUUAUAAAUGGCAACUAUACCCUAUUAAUCAUCAUCAUAAAAAUAAUUUUUAUAAUGUAUGAGACCAAGUUUCACGUCUCUAUUAUUUUUCAUCAUUUUUUAGAAUUGUACGAUCUUGUACCAGAUCUUCGUUUAGUUAUGAUGAUAGCAACCACUCUCACUGAAAAAUUAUAUAAUAACAUUUUUUUGGCAUAUUUAAUUACUGAUCCUGUCGGUGUAUUAUUGUAAAAUUAGGCAAUUUGUCCAAUCAAUUCACACAUAAUUUCAAACCUGGCAACUAUAUAAAAACAAAAUCAUAGGUAAAUAAUGUAGAAAAUCACCAACAACCCUUGAAUUUUGUUACAAGAAAGGGCCAAGUCAUCACCUUAUCAAGAUUGUGAGUGGAUUCACAAAGAUCACGACUAGUAUAAAAGGAGGAAGUCACUCUUGUGUUUUCUGCACCAAACUCAUAAGUCACUAACAUGGCUUCCUCAAACUUCCUAGUGCUGCUUCUUUUUGCUCUAUUUGCCAUUCCUCAGGGUCUUGCCAAUUAUGAGAAGCCUCCGGUUUACCAACCACCGGUGUAUAAGCCACCAGUUGAGAAACCCCCGGUCUACAAACCCCCUGUAGAAAAGCCACCAGUAUAUAAGCCACCAGUAGAGAAGCCUCCAGUUUACAAACCACCGGUGUACAAGCCACCUGUGUACAAACCCCCAGUAGUGAAACCCCCAGUCUACAAACCUCCUGUUUACAAGCCACCGGUGUACAAGCCACCAGUUUACAAACCACCAGUAGAGAAGCCCCCAGUUUACAAGCCACCUGUAUACAAACCCCCAGUAGUGAAACCCCCAGUCUACAAACCUCCUGUUUACAAGCCACCAGUUGAGAAGCCUCCAGUUUACAAGCCACCAGUAGUGAAGCCACCUGUUUACAAGCCCCCAGUCUACAAGCCACCAGUAGUGAAGCCACCUGUAUACAAGCCUCCAGUCUACAAGCCACCCGUUUACAAGCCUCCAGUUGAGAAGCCUCCGGUCUACAAGCCACCUGUUUACAAGCCCCCAGUUGAGAAACCUCCAGUCUACAAGCCACCGGUUUACAAGCCUCCAGUCGAGAAGCCACCAGUUUACGGACCUCCUCACCACCCAUAGGACUCUCGGAUGCUUUUAAGUAAAUAAGUUAAAUAAGAGAUAUAUAAUGUUUCCAAAGCAAGGAUUAUAUAUUCUUGGAAUCUUCAUUUUAGUCUUUUGUUUACAAAUCCUAUUACCAAGAUAAGAAUGUGAAAGAAAAUGGUGCAUUUGUACUCCAAGUUAUGAAUAAGAACGUUGUGAUUUAGCACUUUUUAAUUUGUGUUGGUUGACUAAAUUGGACAUAGUAUAUAUAUACUCUACUUAAUACUCUGUCAUAUCAGUAAGGUGCAUGAAAGUUCAAUUUUCUGUAGUAGACAUAACGAAUAAUUAAUUUAUGUUUGAAUCUAGAAUUUACUAAACUUCACGUACUUGGAAUUUCAUUGCAUUAUAGCUUGACUCAGUAGUAGCUUUAGUGAAAAAUGAUUUUGGUGCUUAAAAUUUUAAGAGUUGGAGUUUGGACAAAUUAUACACUCAUAUAAUUUAGUUAUCUUUUCAAAUUUACAAUUACAAUUUUCAAGGUUCUAUAUUUGUGUUGAUGCACCAAUUAAGAGAAUGAUCAAGAAAAUUAGGUUUUUAAUUGGUUUUUAUCGAUGAUUUCUGAAGAUAUAUUUCGGCAGAUGAACUAAUCCUUCAAUUUAAGAGAUUAAAUUGCCAUUUUACAAAUUUCAAUGAUUAUAUUAUUACCUAAUCUUAAAUAUAAUUUUUAGGGCUAAAACGAUGAUUCACUCAAUAUAUAUUGUGAUUUCUUAUUUUUUUUAUGAUAUAAAGAUAGCUGAAGUUGUGUGAUAUACAAAGUUAUAUUUCCUUUGGAAGAUAAGAGUCCCCCACCAUAUUGACAUGAAAGUGAACGUGGGAAAAUAUGUGCAAUUAAGGUUCCAAAUAUUAAACAAUAGCCACAAUAAUUGUCUAUAACUCAUAACAAAUAUAAGAACUUGAUAAGAAAAAUAAUAAAUAUAAGAACAUGAGCAGGCCAUAGUUUUUUAGCCCGAGAAGCUUCAUCUUCUUUUUAAGUCUAACAUUUUUUAAUCUUCAUUCAAAGAAGAUUGGUGAUUUUGGGAUAUUUUUAUAAGAUAGGUAAAUAAUGAAAUUUGUGUUGUACUCGAAGAAAUCUACCACACGAUUUGAAUGAAUAUAUUACUUUUAGUCAAAAUAAAUUAAAAUAAAGAAUGUAACAUUUCAAACUCACUCACAUAUAAAGAAUGAAUUUACAAUCUUUAAAACACAAAUAUUUAAUCCUUAAAUCUAACACCUCUCUUAGUUUUAGCGAAAUGAACUUUGUGUUGUACUCGAAGAAAUCUACCACACAAUUUGAAUGAAUAUAUUACUUUUAGUCAAAAUAAAUUAAAAUAAAGAAUGUAAAAUUUCAAACUCACAUAAAAAGAAUGAAUUUACAAUCUUUAAAACACAAAUAUUUAAUCCUUAAAACUAACACCUCUCUUACAUUUAUUUUGUUUACGUACCUUUAUUUUGUUUUCAAAUACUUAUAUUUAGUUGAAUUCCUUCAUUAUACUCUUUUUAAUGAAUUUUCUGAACAAAAUAAAAUUGUGUUACUCAGUCACUCAAAUUAGAGUGGAUAGAGCAAUGAAAAUAUUUAUUACUAUGUAGUUUAUAGUUGGAGUGAUCGGAUAGUCUAGUGGGAUCUUAGCCACUCUCGUUUGACUCACUUGGAGCAUGUCAAAAAUAUUUUUUUGAAAAUGAACGAUGGAGAUUUACUUUGCACUAGGUCCAGUGAAAAAGAUAUGGGAGAUAAUCCCAAUCUUAGCUUAUUGGGUAGGCCAGUGUUGAGAAUGGAUUCUCUCAAAUGUAAUUAUCUCACUAGUCUAAUUACCAACACAAUCAAAGAGAAAAAAUAGUGGGAUGUAAGUAAAAAAUCCAUAUUCUACUUACUCAAUCAUCUAUACAAGCUACUUUAAUUAUCUAGUCGAACGUUACGAGCGUUACAAGAGAAAUCAGAAUAUCGAUGAUCAAAAUCCUUCAAAGCAAAAGAUGUUGUUGUGUGCAAGUGUGAGUUAUAUGCCCCACAUCGGAUAAAAGAGUAAAGGUUGAACACCUUAUAAGUAAGAGGACCAUAAACCCAAAGCCUUAAGGUUUUGGGUAAGAGUGUGGUGUCUCCCUUGCUUGUCUGGUUGUUCUAGCCUCGAUGUGGACGCUCCCCCAAGCUCCCCUCGCUGACCCAACAGUGGUAUCAGAACCCCGGUUCGAUGAAGGGUACGACUGAGGCCGCCUGUCAGUUGUGCAGAAAGCAGCAACGACGGUACAAGCAACAAGUGGCUUCUUGUGCAGCAACGGCUAUACAUGCAAAGUAAAAAGCUUCCACGCGGUACAAGCAACAAGUGGCUUCUUGUGCAGCAAUGGCUAUACAUGCAAAGUAAAAAGCUUCCACUCUAGGGGAGCGACUCACGCUUGAGGGGGAGUGCUGUUGUGUGCAAGUGUCUGUUAUAUGUCUCAAAUCGGAUAAAAGAGUAAAGGUUGAACAUCUUAUAAGUUAGAGGACCCAUAAACCCAUAGCCUUAAUACUGUCCUUUUUGCAUAUUUAGCCCCCCCGAAACCAAUUUUAACCAAUUCAACGAUGACGUGGAUGUCACGUGUGUAAUGCUUUAAUUAUUUUAGUUUUAGAUAGAUACAGAGAGAGAGGUGUCAUAUGUCAAAAAAAAAAAAAGAUAGAAAAGAUUUCCUUCCUUGAAUCGUUGAGGUAACUACAAACUAAGACAAUGAUGUUAUUGGUUACUUGUUUCUAAUACCUUUGAAAAAGAUAGUUAGACCAAUGUAUUGGUCAUUAACUCUUUUCAAUGGUUACUACCCUAGUGUCUAAGGUGAGUCAUAACAACGUCAAAGUAAGUACAAUUAUUAUUAAUUUAUGUCUACACCUAAUCAAUAAUUGAAGGUUAAGAUAGGUCAAGCCAACAAAGUUAAGGUUAAGAUAAUCAUUUUCACCUAAAUUGAUUUAUGAACAUAUGUUAAUGAUGACAGUCCGUCAUAUCACAUUUUUAGAGUCUUUUCAAUUAAGUUUUUAUUCUAAUUUUAUUAAUUUAGUACUUAAUUUAGAGUCAUUUUAAAUAAAUUGUCAUUUUCUUAUUAUUGAGUCAACUAGUGUAUUAUUACUAUUAUUAUUGGUCAAUUAGUGGCUAGUAAAGAGAAUGAAACAAAAACAUGGUUUUGUGAUGGAUGUGAUUGGCCAAGAAAAAUGAUAACAAGUUGAACGAAAGAAAAGAAGACCACACAAUGUUGCAUUAGGGUGCAGGAAUCAAAACCAAUAUAAUUGGGCUUUCUUUCAUGGACGUUGAACCAAGAAAAAGAAAAGAAAAGAUAACUUGCUGCAUAAUGUUAAUUUGGAAAGAAAAAUAGGUUUGACAAGCUAUAAAAGGAGACCACGCACAGGAACAAAGCAGACGAUUGGGAAAGAAAGAGCAGCACGCGGUACGAGACAAAAGGAGGAGGAGAAAAGCUCAUGGAAUUUGGAAUAUGCAACAGUACUGAUUAAAUAGAACAAAGCCGGUAGACCAUAAUUCGAUCGGUUUAUUUCUUUUAGUAUGUUGUUUAUUCCUUUAAUAUGUCUAGUUAAUUCCAUUUGAUUGAGUCACGAUGAACCUAUUGUAAUAUAUGAAUCAGUAGUUAAAACUCUUUUUAUUAUCAAUAUUAUUCAGUCUUUAUUCAGAAUUAUCUGUGUUCAUUGCCUUUCAUAUGAUUGUUUGCAUUGUUUGCAUUGUUUGCAUGACUAUUAACCCUAACUUCUUACAAUCACAUAAAUUGAUCUUAGGAAUUGAAUGACUACUAACCCUAACUUUUAAUCCUGAAAUAAUAAUUCUGUUUAAUUCAACAUAGGAACCUAGAGAUAGGAAAUUGAGGAUUAUGACAUAUAACGUUCUAACAUCGCUUCCGCGGUUAUUCAACCAGUUUAAAAGAUUAAAAGGUUAUAACUUAGGAAAUGGUUUUGAGUCAAGAGAUUGAUCAAAACUAAUUAGUUAAUUUGUCGUAAAGAUUGAAUAAGUGUUGAGAGCAAAGAGAGAUAAACUAUUUCACAUAAAACAAUAGAGGAUUUACCGGCUGAUCAUCUGUUUUAAUCCAAUUAUCAAACCAUUUUAUUUUAUGUUAUUUACUUUUUAUUGCACACAAACGUACUGCCUCAUACACUUAUAAAAUUUACACAUCCUAGAUAUUAACUUUAUUGCUAGUUUGAGAUUAACACAGUCCUCGUGGAUACGAACUUAUUUUAUUACUUCGAUAGUUUUAGUACACUUGCUAAAAUAUUUAUGAGUUAACCAAUAAAGAGUAUCAAGAACAACUUUAACCGAAUAAAAUAGAAAAGUAAUUAAAUGAAAUUUAUAGAAUUAUUCAAAGUUACAUAAUCAAACAAUUACGAGGAAGUUCUUAUUUCAUGACCUAACAUAUAUAGUAUUAGCUACUCAUAGAUUUUCUAAACAUAUAUAAAUAGAUAUGAAGAAGAAAGCAUGAGAAAAGGAUCAGCAAGUGAGGAUUAAUUGGCUCCCUAAUGGCCGUGGUCACUCCAAUCCUUCCAAAAUUGUGUUUCUGCCUUCGUCUUCUCGCUAAAAAGUAUUUUCCACUAACUUAGGUUUCAAUAUUUAUAGGUGUGCAUUUCCUUAAGUUUUUGGGAAAUUGGCACACGAUGCGAUCCUAUUCCUCAUGAUGCGAGGAUAACAUAACUAAUCUUGUUGGCCUCACGUUUAUUGUCCCGAUGCAAAGCUCAUGAAGAUUGAUACGAUUCAAGGAAAUGUGAUUUGAUUUAACCAAGCAAAAACCAAGAUCAUAGGAUAACAAUGAUACGAUUCAAAGAAGUGUUAACUUGAUUCACAGUAAUACAAUUCAAAGAAUCAUGAAUCGUUUAAAAAUUUAUGGAAAAUUAGCAGAAACUUUUCAUGAUAAGAUUCAAAAAAGUUUGAAUUGAAUCAAUUGGUUAGAAAAACAUUUUGACCAAGAAAAAUGAAGUUUUCUUUAUACAAACAAAACACAAGACAACAAGGGAUCAUAUGAUUUAUGAGGCAAGAUUUCUAGGUAUGCUUUAACAUGAUAUUAGUCAAUAACAACUAAUAUCUAAACAUCAUCAAAUAAAAACUACCUAAUGAACAUCAUAAAAACACAAACCUAUAACUACACAACUUCAUCCAACUUAUUGGGUGUACCGCAUUAACUAGAUAAUGGUCAUAUCUAUACUAUAUAUAAAGAAAAUAACAUGUUUUUCAAGGUGAGAAAAACACGAGAGGGGGGGGGGGGGGGGGUUGAAUUGUGGUUUCUUUCUCUUCUCCUAAAACCGAAUUCACUAUUCAGAACUUGAUAGAGUUCAGCUUCUGAAGUAGUGUUCAGAGUCUAGUUGCAGCGGAUAAGAAAAGAGAGAGAGAGAGAGAGGCAAGACACAAAGCAACUAUACAGAUUCCUUCCACAAACCGGAACUAGUCAUGUCCCCCUUGCACCUCCAAGAAGAGUUCACUAAAAUCAAUAUUCGAUUACAAUUGCUCAGGGCUCAAAAUAGCAAGAGACUUCAAACUACUCAAGAACAACUACAAGAGAUUUCCUAUGCUCAAGAACAAAAUCAAGAGACUUCCUAUGCUCAAGCACAACUGCAAGAGACUUCAUACAAAUCAGAUAAGACUCUUAAGAUUCUAGAAUUUCUAAAAUAUGAAAGUUGAUAAGAAAUUCUAAGUGAACUUUGAUGUGAAACAUUUUUAGCAGAGUUUUGGCACUUGUAAAAUUGUUGUAAGUCUCUUAGAAAUCUUCAAGUCUUCACUCCUUUAUAUAGAGGUGUGAAAGAGACGUUGUUGAUUUCCAACACAUUAAAAGAGUCGUUAUUGAAGCUUGAUCAAAUUUCAAUUCCAUUCCAAGUAUAGAGGAAUACCAGCGUAGUCACAAUUGUUGUUCUUGUACUAUUGCAGACAGAAAACAGAGUAGUGGAGAAGGUGGUUGUACAAUUGUACUAUUGUCCUUUUCCAAUGUUCUUCAAGGGAUAAGCAUCCAAUGACUUCAAAUUCCUCUUAAUUAGUUGUUGCUCUAGACUUCUAUUCCUUCUGCAAUGAUAGGCAUGAUAAUAACAACUCUUGACAAAUAUUGAAGCUUCCAGUCUUUCAGCUUAUGAUCUUAAACUUCUAACGACGUCAGCUUCUGGUAGUCUCCAGCUUAUGAUAAAAGUGCUUCUGAUGAUGUCAUCUUCAGAACCUCUUUGUCUUCAAAACCUCUUUUCCUUCAGAUGGUUCCUUGCAACUCAAGCUUCCUUUUUUUAAAUUCCAUUGCUCUCAUUUGUUCUUCUAGAACCCAUGCUUCAUUUAAAGACACUCAAAUUUUUGUAUAUGGUCCUGCACACUUGAACAAAUAUUAUCAUAUCCAAUUGAAUUUUUUUAAUACCUUGUUAUCAUCAAAACUUAAAGGGUAAUGUUAAACACAUUUUGUUCCAACAUUUUUGACUCUUUUAGAAUGACUUUUUCUCUUUCCAAAAUUACCAUCAACUUUCAAUACAAAUAACACAUACAACAAGAAUUGUGUUAUUUGAACAUCCAUAUAUGCGACAACUUUUGUGACAACCAAAAUUUUACAAAGAAAAUGAAGUAGUGGCACAAAAACCAAAGCAAUAGAGAGAGAAAGUAAAAAGAUAAUGUGAGUAUGAGAGAGAAAGUUGUCACAAAAGUUGUAAAAAAUAGUUGUUCAAAUAUCAUUUCUCCAUACAACAAAUAGAUGAGAGUAAAUUCAAACAUUAAAAUAAAAUUGUAAUACACACGAUAUGAGUAUAUAUGUCCAGUUUUUUCCUUUAUCAUUUAAAAAAUGUAACAAACAAGAUGAGAAUAUCAGAGAGAUGAGAGAUAGUGACGUGAGACAAGAAAGACCUCUCCGUGGCCCGCCUUUGCUUGAACGGUGGUAACCGCACCAGAAUUUAUCUCCAUUUGAGAGAUACACUAGGGGGUAGGUAUGCAGCCUGGGUGGUAGAAAAUGGGGGGGGGGGGGGGGGGGGUAUGGGUGAUUGGUCUGUAGUUAGGUCACGAAAGAGGAAAGCGACGCAAUCGGAAGAUCGAGGAAGGGACAAGUCAAGGGUUUCAGAGCGACGCGGAGGCACGGUAAGGGUUAGAGGGAUCGCACAUAAUGAUUACGGGUUUGAUGGCAGAGAGGCGCGACAAUCAGCAAGGGCUCUUCAUGAUCAGCAAGGUUUGGGUCGUUAUCAGUUUGGAAACAACGAUUUGGCUUUCGACAGAUGCGGGUCUGAUGCUAUCAUGGGAAAAGGCUUCUUCGACGACAAACAUAACAAUGGUAGUAAAAUUACUUUCUAUUUUGCAAACAUUCCUGAUUAUAUGCCGUUGUUUCGUCUCCGUCAAUACUUUGAAGUGUGUGGUAUUUUGUCUGAUGUCUAUGUUGCCAGACAACUAAAUUCACGUGGUCAGGUCUAUGGCUUCGUUAGAUUUUUGAAUGUGAGGAACAAGGACAAAUUAGCACAAGAUUUGAAUAAUGUAUGGAUUGGUGACUUUAAGGUCUGGGCGCGUGAAGCAAAAUUUGAUAGGUUUGCACAAUAUGAUGAUGAUCAUAGGGUGUCUAUGCAUGGUGAUAGAAGGGAUGAGAAUGGAGGGGAGAGGAGGCCGGUGGUGAGAACUAAUGGUGAUGGAGUAAAAAAUAUGAGGAUGUGUAAUUUUAAAAAAAUAGGAGGGAUAAUAAAAAUAGUUGUUGGUCUCAUUUUAAAAAAAAAUAAAAAAAUUGUUUAUAUAUUUUUGUUAUAUUAUCGGUGUCAAUGAAAUGGAUAAUCAUGGUUAAUUUGAUUUGUUAUAAUUUGAAAGCAACACACAUUUAUAUCUUUAAUUUUAAUCAAAAUCAAAAUGUUAUAAAAAAUACUAUUGCUAAUUUUCAAAUGUUAACACAAUAAAAAGAGCAGAAAGACGGAGUGCCCGUCUUUUCACUAGUUAUAAUAAAAGAAAUUUUAUUUGAUGUAUUGAUAAUGAUACUGAAACUUUUUACACAUACAUCCAAACAUUAUUCAUGACAUCACUUUUAUACAAGUUCUAAAAUAUCGCUGUAACAAAAAGGUUAAAAAACAACUCAUGAAAUAUGUACAUGAUUUAAUUGAAUAUAUGUGUAAAAGAAAUUAUAUAUCAACAUCUAUAAAUUAAAUUUAUUAUUGAAAUGAAAUACUAGUAAAAAUGAUGGCCAGCAUUUAUGAAAAUAAAGGUCUAACUGAUCAUGGGCCAAUUUAAAUCAAAAGUAGAUUUGUGCCCUCUAAAGGGUACUAGAAUAUAAAAGAUGGACGGCAAACAAGGGACACAAAGAAUAGAGAUGCUCAAUUUAAAACACAACUUCGAUUUUUUUUUUAUUUACUAAAAAAUAACUUAGAUUGUUUAGAGAAGAUAGGAAUUCAAUUAGUCUGACAACAUAUUUUGGAAGUACAAUUAGUUUCACAAUUAACUAUUUUGAUAAUCCUCCUUAUUAAAAAAAAAUUAAUAUUCCAUUUCGUCAAAUAAAACAAAAAGUUAGGGAGUGAUGAGAGAUCUUAGUCAAUAUUGUUUUGCACCAUAAUAUUUUUGAGAGAUUGAUUUGGCAUUUACAUGCUUCCAACAAAUACAAUGUAACAAGUGCUUAUAAUUAUAUGAUAUCGUCUCUUAAUAUUGUGACAGCUGAUCACUUAAACACAAUUUGGAACAACGAGGUCCCUCUGAAAGUUAGUCAUUUUACAUGGAGUUUGCUCUGUAGCCGAUUACCAACAACAAAUAAUUUUAUCAGAAGGCACAUUCUUAAUCAUAAUGUUCAACUUUGUGUAGGCUUUUGUGGUAUAAUGUAAGAUAUAGACGAUCUAUUUCUCUCUUGUGAUUUUUUUGAAAUUUUUUAGAUUGGUAUCUAUAAUUGGCUCGGCUUUACUAUGGUACAUCCAGAACAUCCGAAUAACUUUUCAACUCAUAUGGUUAACUUGUGUUUGGGUGAUUUGAUGGGAAAGAAAUGCUUGAAGUUUUCGCAAUCAAGAAGAAUCGUUACAACAUCUUCUUGACAAAAUUAAGCUUCAAUCCUAUUAGUGGUUGAAAGCGAAUAGAAUUUUCGCUCAAUUUUAAUAAAGUGGAUACUAUAUGAGAUUUUCGCUCAAUUUUUUAUGAGUAUGGACUGCACUUGGCGUUAGUCAUUGAACUCAUUUUACGAGACUCAAGUUCCAACUUAAGCCAAAAACUGAAACCAAACAAAUGAAGUAAAAAACUCAAGUUCCAAACUAAUGCGUGAUUUUAGUCAAAACAAUGUUUAUUUUUUGACAGUAGUUAGUUUUGGAUUACAGCUAUAUCCCUACACCCCACAAACUAUACCCCUCUCACCAAUAGACAAAACAAAAGAGUAGGUGGAAGGGUACAUAAUUAAGAAAAAGUUAUGUGAAAAACAAUAUUUUCUAUAGCCAAAACCAAAAGAUAUAUAUUGCAUUAUUGCAUAUAUACCAAUAAAAGAAGUACUGUGAAAUACAAGAUAAUGGCAUUAGAUUAGAAAUGGCCAAUUUGAUCUGUCUAUUUUUAAUCAUAUUAUUUAGAUUUGUUCAAUCUUUUACCAAAUCUUAUUUAGUUAUGCAAAAAGCAACACCUCUCGUUGAAAGAUAAUAAUAACGAUUUUUGGCAUAUGUUACUAAUAUUGAUUGAAAAAUGUUACCAAAUGAUGCAACUUCCCAACUCCAAUCCACUCAUAAUUUCAAACUUCGCUACCAUAUGAAAACAAAAUCACAGGUAGAAAUGUGUUGGAAAUCCUCAACAACUAUUGACUUUUGGUACAAAAGAGUGCCAAGUCAUUACUAAUUCAAGAUUGAGACAUGCAGCUGUGAGUGGAUUCACUAAGAUCACGACUAGUAUAAAAGGAGCUGGUCACACUUGUAUUUUAUGCACCAAAUUAUAAGUCACUAACAUGGCUUCCUCAAACUUUCUAAUGAUGCUCCUCUUUGCUCUCUUUGUCAUCCCUAAGGGGUUUGCCAACUACGAGAAACCUCCAGAGUAUCAUCCACCAGUUGAAAAUCCCCCAUUUUAUAAACCACCGGUAGAGAAACCACCUGUGUAUAAACCACCAAUAGAGCAACCUCCAAUUUAUAAGCCACCUGUAGAAAAUCCUCCAAUUUAUAAACCACCAGUAGAGAAACCACCCGUGUAUAAACCACCGUUUGAGAAACCUCCAAUCUACCAUCCACCAGUAGAGAUACCACCAGUGUACAACCCACCAGUUGAACAUCCUCCAAUUUACAAGCCUCCUGUAUACAAACCACCAGUAGAGCAACCUCCCGUCUAUAAGCCACCAGUAGAGAAGCCUCCAAUUUACAAGCCACCAGUAGAGAAACCUCCUGUUUACCAACCUCCUGUUUACAAGCCCCCAGUUGAGAAACCUCCAGUGUACAAGCCACCUGUAGAAAAGCCACCAGUGUACAAGCCACCUGUAGAAAAGCCACCAGUGUACAAGCCACCUGUAGAAAAGCCUCCUAUAUACAAACCACCAGUAGAGAAACCACCAGUGUACAAACCACCCGUUGAGAAACCCCCGGUUUAUAAGCCACCAGUAGAGAAACCACCUGUGUACAAGCCACCAGUUGAGAAGCCCCCAAUUUACAAGCCACCAGUAGAGAAACCACCUGUAUACAAGCCACCAGUUGAGAAGCCUCCAGCUUACAAGCCACCAGUUGAGAAGCCACCUGUAGAGAAACCACCAGUGUACAAGCCACCGGUUGAGAAGCCCCCAAUUUACAAACCACCAGUUGAGAAGCCUCCAGUGUACAAGCCACCGGUUGAGAAACCACCUGUCUACAAGCCACCUGUAGAAAAUCCACCUGUUUACAAGCCACCAUUUGAGAAACCUCCAAUUUAUAAACCGCCAAUAGAGUAUCCACCCGUGUACAAGCCCCCUUUUGAGAAACCCCCCAUCUACAAGCCACCUGUAGAGAAACCUCCUUUUUACAAGCCUCCGUUUGAGAAUCCACCAUUUUAUAUACCUCCAGUUGAGGAGCCUCCUGUUUACAAGCCUCCAUUCGAGAAGCCACCAAUUUACACUCCUCCAUUCUAGAGCCCACCUUACCACCCAAAGUUCCCUCGGGCAGGCGAUGGUACUCGUUAAUAGAACAUGCUAUGAAGAAAAUAUGUUAAAUAAGAGAUAUAUAGAGUUUUUUAUUUAAUCAAGGAAUAUAUAUAUUCAUGUAAUCUUCAUUUCAAUACUUUGUUUACAAUACUCUUGCUAUGAUAAGAAUAUGAGUGAAAAACAGAGAAAGAAAAUAGUGUGCUUUUCUAUUCGAAAUUAUGAAUAAGAUUUCUAUGAUUUAGAUGUUGUGUUGGUUGACUAAAUCGUGAUACAUCGACAGAGGCAGAGCCCCUCAUGCGCCAAGGUGGGUCAUGGCCCACCCCCAAAUUUUGUUUCUUAUUAUAUAUAUAUUAUGUUUUGUAAAUUUUUGAUGUUUUUGUAGCAUGUUGUAGUGGUUAAGAGCCUUUUUGCCAAGUCGUAUGUGCUAGGUUCAACUCUUGCCAAAACCAUUUUUAUUUAUUCUUUUAUUUUCUUUUGUAUAAAAAAAAAACAUAAUUCAUAAUUGUUAAAAUAAUCCUUUUUUUUGUUACUUAAUCCUUUCUUUCUUUAAUAAAACAUAACUCCUUUAUUCGAUUUAAAAUAAUCUUUCCUUUCCUUACUCUUAUUUUUGGAUACAAUUGUCUCUUUACUCUUUUAUUUUAAUUUUUUUUUUAUACAAAGGGGACUUCAACUCUUUUUUGUCAAAAAACAUUCUCUUUUAAAACAUAUAACAUAUUUUUUAUACUUAGUCGUUUGAUUCAAUUCGAUUUUAUACCUAUACAUCUGUUUAUUGAAGUCGAGUCAUUUAAUUCAGUCGUUAGGUUCAAUGGCCUAGUUGUUCGAUCAAUUAUCUUGAACUUUAUCAAGGUUGAUAAACAGUUCAUAUUUUAAAAUACCGGUUUAAAUUAUAUUCAACAAAUAACAAAUUUAUAGUCAUUGGAACCAACCAAUAAUAAAAUGUACUUGUAAGAAAAUAAAGCCUCAUCACUAUUUAUGGCCCACCCUAUACUUUUUUCCUAGCUCCGCCACUUUACAUCUUCGUAUUCUUUAGGAAGUUUCAACCUUGUUGACUAUGACAACAGUGACGACUAUAACGAGACUCGCUAUUGACUAUGACAACAGUGACGACUAUAACGAGACUCCCUACUUUUUGGUUUGCUUCAACAGGUUCUCAACAUAAAUAACUAACCAAGUUAAUUUGCCUGUGAAAUGUGAUAUUAGUAAGGUGCAUGAAGGUUAAGUUCUUUAGCAAAGCUUAGUAUCUUGAAUUAAAGAAUAUCGUUAAUUAAACUAAAUAUUCAUAUUAGGUAUCACAAUUUUCAAGACUUUAUAUGUACGUGUUGAUCCAUUAAUUAAGAGAAAUUAGACUUUAGACCCGUGCGUCGCACGGGUCAUUUCGACUAAUAUAUAAUAAUAAGUAAUGGUAAAAAAAAUUCUAAAAUAAAUAAAAGAUGAAGAGUAUUAUACAUUUUACUUACUCAAGUUCAAAAAAUAAAGUAGGAGAUGACAUGAAAUCGUUUAGUUGAAACAAACGAAUAUUAAAAAAUAAAAAUUAGACAACGACAGGGAUCUAAAAUUCUAUUUCUAAUCCUUCACAUAUCAAAAUUACAAUUGGUUCUCUUCAUUGUAAUCAUCUAAACUUAAUUAAAAAAUUUACAAGUGCAAAUAGAAUCGACAUUAUACAAGUCACUACUUGAUUCCAAAAACCUAUGUUUCAUGAAAACCACUCAUACCUAAAUAACAAUAAUAAACCUUCAAAACAAAAAUCAACUAUUCUCAAAGGACCCAAAAGAAAGAUUUUUAGCCUUCUAAAUCACAAUUUCUCUUGUUGUAUUGUUUUUGUGUCAAAAGCACCAUAAGUUGAAUAGUAGGCUCAGACACAUGACUUUCCUCAUAAGACAAAAUCACCAGUUUUUUAUAGGUUGAAAAAAUAAAUCAAAUAUCCUUAACUUUCAAUAACGCUUAGAAACAACUGAAACUUUUGCAUUAUCUCAAUCCACAAACAAAAUUGAAGACCUUUAUAUUUGCUUUAGGCACCUUAAGGAAUUCUAUGUAAAUUGUUUUCCUGCAAUGAAAUGCUAAACACAAUGAGCAAAGAAGAAGAAUUAACAACAAUAUUUGGAUUGUUUUAUUUAGCUUACAAUUCUUUAAACUAAUCAANAACACAAUGAGCAAAGAAGAAGAAUUAACAACAAUAUUUGGAUUGUUUUAUUUAGCUUACAAUUCUUUAAACUAAUCAACAAAAAAUUAAAUUUGCAUUAUAUCCUCCACAAUAUCAAGAAUUUUUCAAAGGGAUCAUUCUAUUUGUAUGGCUAUGAUGAGAACUCAUGUGUGUCCAUGAAGACCAGCUCUACGGAUAACCAUGUUCAUAUUAACUAUUUUAGGAGUGAAAAUAGGAUUGGAUUGGAUUUAGUAGUGAGCUGUUGUUUUUGAUUUCAGAAGCAUUUGAAAAUAACAUUUUGAUUAAAUGGAAAUAAUAGGAAGAAUUUGUUAAUAAAAGUGAUUUUUUUUUUUUUUUUUAUGUUGAUCUUUUUAUUGUUGUGUUAGAAACAAAAUAGGACGAAAUUGUAUUUUUUUUUUUAUGUUUAUCUUUUUAUUGUUGUGUUGGAAACAAAAUAGGAGGAAAUUGUUAUAGGAAUAGGAGGAACGAUUUUUAAAGUUUAUCUCUUAAUUAAACAGGUUUAAUUGAACACGGGGGUAAUAACGUAAAAGUCAUCAUAAAAUCUAGGUUAAAAUUAGGUUAAAAAUUGGCUUACGGGUUAACUUUUAUAUAUAAAGAAGUCAAGAGAAUCUAGAUCUGUGAAGCCCCGAUACUUCAAAAUGGAUGAUGUAUCGUAUCCGCUGCGUAUUCUGUAUCGAUACCUGCCCGAUACUUCUCAAAUUUAUGAGUUUUAUUUGAUUCUUCGAAUUCGAAUUUUGAGAAUUUUAGGGUUUGAAGGUUGGUGAUGGAGGUGAAUCUGAGUUUAUAUUAAGAAUUGAUGAAGAAUUUAAGGAGAGUGCAGUGAUGGAUAGGUAACUGAGUAUGAAUUGGUAUGCAGUUUGGAAAAACAAAACAAGAGGCAGUAGCAGCACCCCCACCCUUCCUCUACUUCUUCGACAAUAUGAGUGUUAGAUUCAUUUUCCUAGGUGUGAUUUUGAGGCAGAUGAAUAUGUGUGAGAGAUUGUAGAGGAAGAUCUCAGAUAUAGCUUUUAGGGAUGAACAUGAAUGAAUGAAUUUGUAGAUGAAGAUGAAUGUUGUUUGAACAUUUAAUUAAGAAAUUUUUAAUUGUUUUUUGUUUUAAUAUUUGAAAUUAUUAAAUUGUAUUUUGAAAUUCAAAAAACCUGUUUUAAUGACAUGUAAAUGACAUUUUCCAAAUUGGCAAUGCCACAUAGGCAAAAUUUUACCACCUGUGCAUUUUUGGAUGUGAAAAUAGGGGGUAAGACUAAAACUGCAACAAAAAUGAUAAUUGAAAAACAAUUUUAAUCUGUUUUAAAAGGGCAGGACCAAUUUCCUGAGUAGGCCACAACACGAGGACCAAAAGUGUAAUUAAGCCUUAUAUUUAUGUUGAUGUGCUACAAGCUUAUGACUGGUUUCUUUUGUUUGAUAAUAUAUUUGCAUAUUAAAUAAAAUGGUUAUAAUUAUAUUCUACAUUUAAUUAUAUAAUUUUUUUAUUGACGUAUCCCAACCAUAUCGUAUCUUGAUUUUUGAAAUUUUUUCGUAUUGACGUAUCGGUGCAGUAUCGUAUCUCGUAUUCGGGCUUCAUAGAUCUAGACUAUUAAUUUUUUUGAUAAACAAGAUUAUUAUUAUUUUUUGACAAAAACAAAGUGAGAUUCAUUCAUUCAAAUUGAUAGAGUACAUCAGAUACAAACAUUGCUAAAAACGUAAAGGAUAAAUCUAUGAACAAACUCACAACACUAAAGUUCAUACAACAGCAAAAUGUCUACAAAUAAUAUGAUAAAAUCUAAGUCACCAAAAUAUUCAUGCUUCCGGGUAUGCAACGUUGGCGCCCAAAUCAUUGAUUGAAUUUGUAAUUGACUAAUGUCGAUCUUUCAACAUGAACUAAACGAACACCGCGUCAAGACGCGAAAUCAAACAUCACAUAAGACCACUAACAACACAAUGCCACAAUUAGAUGACGAAAUCACAAAAACUCAAAAGGGAAAACUUGAUAUAUGUGAAAACCAUUUGUUUAGAUCGAAAGAAAAGAGAAAAAACGAUGUAGAGGGGUGAUUUUAGGUCAAAAAUGACCUAAAACCAGUUCUUUUUAAUAAACGAAGGAGAAAGAAUGUUUAGAGAGAAGUUGGAGUUUUUUUUUACUUAAAAAAUUAGGAUAAGCAAAAUUAUUAUAGAGGGAUAAAGGGCUCCCCAACCCAUAUACAAAAUGAUGGUUGCAAUGCCAUGUAGAAAAUAAAAAGAUAACAUUGCCUUUCUUUUUACAAUUAAACUAGUUACAAACCCGUGCGUUGCACGGGUUUAAUAACGUAUUUUAUAAAAAAAAAAUCUUUUAAAAGAAAAAUGAGCAAAUUAAUGAAUAUUGCACAAACAUUAUAAAUCUUUAUCAAAAUAUUUAUGAAAGCUUUAUCAAGUCUUUAAUACACAUUAAUAUUUGUGAUGAUUGAUAAAAGAAUUAAAAAGAGUAAAGGGUAUAGAAAUAAAUUUAUUAAAGAAUUAACAAUUUGUUUAAACUUAUUUUUGUUACAAUUUAGACCAAAAAAAAUAUUGGACUUCAUUGAGUUUCUCUAUAAUUUUUUUAUCAGGCUUGAAGUUAUGACUCUGAGUUUGAAAACCGCAAAAUUCACAAAAAUUAUUGAAGAAACACUAUAAACAAAUAAACGGCAUCGUCAAAAAUGAAAUCAUAUUUGGCUAUAGUGAUCAAGCAAACAAAAAAAAAGAAGCAUAUUAAAUACCUAUAAUCAAUGGAUUCUAAUUGCAUAGAGGCGACACUUAUACUUUCUCUAUGUUUGUUCAUCAAUGAGAGUGAUUAUUUUGCGCUUUCCUUUCAGAAUUGUUCUUGACACCUAGUUUGGGAAAUGCUAAACAGGGAAAUAACUGUAAUAUUAAUCUAAUGCAUAUUAACAUGGAUAAGAUGUAUGCGAAUAUAGUUAUAUAUAACUUAUGAAAUGAAGGUAACAUAACUGAUUUUAAGCUAAAGAAAAUGUACCAUGACUUCUAAUUUAUCUUUCUAUUAUCUUCCUAUAAAGUCUAGAGAAAUGCAUGCAUGUGCAUUAUAUGUACCCCGUUGACCAAUUAACAUUUUUGAAACAAAUGAAAAUUAAGCAUCACUCCCGCAUGUGCAUCUAUAGCUAACACCAUUUGACAUUGAUGUCUUCGAACAUUUGGUGCAACUCUCAUAAUACCAUCCAAACUGGUUAGGAUUGAAUUUAGUUGUUUUUCCAAAUAGUGAUGGAGUAUGUAUCCUAACACAAAUUAUGCACGUGAAAUAAAGAAUAGUGCAAUAUGCAUUUUUAAUUUGUGCGUAAAAAAAUUCAAAGCAUGUUUGUGAAAAAAAAAAAAAAAAACAGACCUUGACUAAGUUUAUAGAUUCAUCAAUUGGCCUAACUUGAGACAGAUUGGAAAAAUCGUUCUACGAAGUACUUUUUAAACUUUACUUUUUAAUCUAUCUGAGCUUGAGAAGUGUUAAGUUCACGACAACAAUUCAAGAAACAUGGUCAAUAAACAAUCAAAUCAGAUUGUGAAAUAAUAAGUUACUCUAACACUGUAUUGUGAAAUCAUAAUGCAAACUUACUAAGUCUUAAACUUUUCAACAACCGGAUGAUGUAGGUUGAUGAGCAGCCUCGAACCUGACCAAUUGUUACAUCUAUUUGCGUUGUCAUUGACUACAAAAUAGAAGCAAAGAAUUCAAGGUAAAUAAAUGGUAAAUGAUAAAGCUACAAAGUAUUUUACCCAUAAUGUUACAUCAACUAUAUUCCCAAUGCUCUAAAUCUCUAUAUCGAGUUAUUACAUGAACUCGAUCACCCUAAAUCCGAGAAAGAAACCAAAAAAUAUAAAUAAAUCAAAAUGUAUACUAAUAAGUAACAUUGAUAAAUCAUAAAAGAAAUUACUACAAAUCUUAACUAACUUAUCUAACCUUUGCAUCACAAAUAAUGAGCUUCAUAUGUUGAUUCUCAUUACUACCAGUCACAAUUCAAGAAUCCAGUACUCCAAAUCCUAUUUUCCAAACGUCUAAAUCAUUUUUGAGAUACUUAAUGUAGUCAUAAUCCCUUGACAUUGAAAUUCAUAUAUAGAAAUACAAUAAUACAUCAUUUAAUUUUAUUCCCUUUGUUCAUUCUGAUAUCGAAAGAAGCUAACAUAUUUCUAUGUGAUCAAUUUUUGUAUCAUCAAAUUAACCUGAUCUUAAAUGUACAAAUUUCUAUCAUCAACUUUCUGGACCCCAAUGAUAUGAUCAAAACAAAUUUACACCAAUCAACUUUUUGCACGGCUCAAUGAUAUACGAAAGAAUAAAUAAAAUAUGAAAACUGUUACAGCUUUAGGAUUACUCACAAAAACUAAAAUAAUUGAAAUGCAUCAAUUAUUUUCAACUCCUGUACCAGAAGCUAAAAUAACAAUUGUGUCAAAACCUUACCAUCAGUUAAAAUUCAGUCAUCAUGACCUCUACUAUACUCCACAUAACAAAAGACGAUUUUUCUACAGCCAUGCAACAUAACAAAUUUUGGUACAUAAUCCAAUAACAAUUGGAAAAAAAAAAAAAAAACCCUUAAAAUGCAUAAUCAUGAAAAAAGGAAGAAAACCAUCUAUGAUGAAGCAAAAACUAAAACGGUGUCGAAAAAUGAAGCCCUUAAGCCAUAAAAAUCAGUCAACUCAAGUCAUGCAUGGUCUCAGAACCAUGAAAAAAGAUAGAAAAUGACCUUUUUUUUUUUUGUGGUGGCCGGGGUUUGAACUCCGGACCUUGCAUAUUUUAUGCAUUGUCCUACCAACUAAGCUAAGCUCACGAGGACGAAGAAAAUGACCUCUUAUGAAGAAGAAAGUGAAACAGUGUUCCCGACUGAACUUAGAUACCGUUUGGUCAAGGUUUUUUACAUUAUAAAAGUUACUUCAAAACAAAGUAAAAAUAAAGGCCUUUAUGAAAGAAACUAAAGUUAUUUGGUUUUUUUGUUUUGUUAGUUUUAAAGCUAUUUAAGUUUAAUGUUGUUUGGCAAAAUAUUGUACAAACUUUGAAUUUAUUAUUUUUUAUAUGGUGUCUGGGGUUCGAACUCCGGACUUGGCAUGUAUUUAUGCAUUGUUCCUAUCAACUGAGCUAAACUCAUGAGGACAAAACUUUGAAUUUAUUAUUAAUUAACAUAAUAAAUAAAUAAAAUGUUUAGAAUAAUUUAUGAAGGCUAAAAAUGUUAAAAAAAUAAAAGAUAUUUUUUUUACAAAUACGAUAUUUACUCAAUAACGUUUAUUUUGUGUAACAUGAAUACAAAUUAAUAUCAUCAUAUAAAUAACUUGUUAAAUAUUUGAAUAGGAGAAACAAUUUAAGGAGUCUGGAAUAAUAAUAUAAAUAAUAUCAAAAUAUUUGAUUUUUUCUAUUUCAAUUAUACUCUAUAACAAAUUUCGUUAUAAGAAUACCAUAUUUUUUGUGUCUUUCAAAAAGAUAAGAAUUUAUAUUAUAUGAUAUUAUAUUUGUUACAUUGUUGGUGUCAUGGAAACAGAUAUGUUUAAUUUUUUUGAACAUGAAAAUGAUAUGCAUAGUUUGUUACGAUAUAAAGGUGCAAUAUAUAUAUAUAUAUACACCUUUUUAGGCAUCUAUACCUUUUUUUGAAGAAAAGACAUCUACAAUUUUACUUUUAAUUAAAAUUUAAAUUUUAUAAAAAUAAUCAUACGCAUUAUGCAACGCUAAAAAAAAUUAUACACAUUAGCGUAACAAAAAAACAGACACACAUAAAGAAUUACUCUAAACGCUAAUGUGUAUGUGCGUAUAUAUUUGCGAGGUUGAAGAAAGAAAAUACAAAUAUUUGAUAUCAUUAAAUGACAGCGUGAAUAAAAAUAUUUGUGAAGUUGUGAUGAUUAAACGAUAUUGAAAUUAUAAGUGAUAAAAAGAUAAUAAAAUUCCUUUGAAAAAAAGGUAAUAAAAUUAAAUGGAACCUCCUUAAAAAAAAUUAAAUUGAACGCUUCAAAUUAAAUGGAAGAAAAAAAUAUAUUGAAGUAUAAUAUUAAAAAAUAAAAAAAAAGGUUCCCAACGUGAAUUGAAGAGAGAUGCUUGUGAAAUAAAUUGUCGAGAAGUAGUUUUUUGAAGAAGCAUUCAACAACUUUUGGUCAAAGUUCAUUGCAUUCAAUUUUAUGCAUUAAAAAAGGUACAUUUUUUAGAAAGUACUUAAUUGAUAUUGUAUUUGACCUAACUUCUCCUUAAAAAUAUAGGGAAGUUGAAAAAAAAAACCGGGUCAAACGGUAUCUUAAUUUCCCACAACGGCAGUGUAGAAACAACUGAAUUUGGGAGAAAAAAAUUGGAAAAUAGUUAAAAAUAAAAAAAAUUGAAAAAUAGUUAAAAAAAAUCGGUGAGGUAGCACCUAACCAAACAACACUAAAAAAAAUUAUAUGCAUCAGCGUAACAAAAAAACAGACAGACGGACAUAAAAUAUUACUCUAAACGUUAAUGUGUGUGUAUAUAUUCGCGAGGUUGAAGAAAGGAAAUAAAAAUAUUUGGUAUCAUUAAAUGACAGCGUGAAUAAAAAUAUUUGUGAGGUUGUGAUGAUUAAACAAUAUUGAAAUUAAAAUAAUUAAUAUUGUGUUUGACCCAACUUCUCCUUAAAAAUUUAGAGAAGUUGGAAAAAAGUCGGGUCAAGCGAUACCUUAAUCUCCCACAACGGUAAUGUAGAAGCCACUGAAUUUGGGAGAAAAAAUUGGAAAAUAGUUAAAACUAAAAAAUAAAAAAAUCGGUGAGGUAGCACCCAACCAAGCAACACCAAAAAAAAAUUAUAUGCAUUAUCGUAACAAAAAAAUAGACAAACAGACAUAUAAUAUUACUCGAAACAUUAAUGUGUGUGUAUAUUCGCGAGGUUGAAGAAAGGAAAUAAAAAUAUUUGAUAUCAUUAAAUGACAACGUGAAUAAAUAUAUCUGUGAGGUUGUGAUGAUUAAAUAAUAUUUAAAUUAAAAUAAUUGAUAUUGUGUUUGACCUAACUUCUCCUUAAAAAUGUAGAGAAUUUGGAAAAAAGCCGGGUCAAACGAUACCUUAGUCUCCCACAACGGCAAUGUAGAAGCAACUGAAUUUGGGAGAAAAAAUUGAAAAAUAGUUAAAAACAUAAAAAUUGGAAAAUAGUUAAAAGUUAUUAAAAAUUAGAAAAUAAUUUAAAAAAUUGGUGAGGGGCAAAAUGGGAAAUUUGGCAUAAAAAAGAUGAGGUGGCACCAAACCAAACCCACCAAUUAGAAAAUUACUUAAAUGCCCAUUCCAGGGACAAAAUGGGAAUUUCAUAUGGCAUCAAUUUUAAUAGAGUAUAUAGACCACUCACAUUACACAAAUGUUGAAAUAUAUGAUGCAUAUUACUUUUUAAAUUUUUGGUUUAUAGUUGCAUUUUUUUUAGGGUUAAUAGUGUUUUUCACCCUUGUAAUAUAUGUCAUUUUCGGUUUUCGACCCUAUAAAAUUUUUAGUUUUAUUUUAACCCUCGUAAAAUUUUUAUUUUCCGGAAAAGACCCUUAAUAGGCCAUUCAAAAACCAAAAUUUCUUGAAAAAAAUUCUGAAAAUGGCCUAUUAGGGGUCUUUUCCGGAAAAUAAAAAUUAUACGAGGGACCACCUGUUGAGAAACCACCUGUACACAAGCCACCAGUUGAGAAGCUACCUGUUUACAAGCCACCUGUAGAGAAACCUCCGGUGUACAAGCCACCUGUUGAGAAGCCCCCAGUUUACAAAC
This 47676-nucleotide long non-coding RNA is filed under the name Medicago truncatula (barrel medic). RNAcentral's name for it is "long non-coding RNA (MTRU_LNC001595)". The record is from RNAcentral. Lineage: Eukaryota; Viridiplantae; Streptophyta; Magnoliopsida; Fabales; Fabaceae.